UUGUGGUUGAUUGACAUCCCGGUGGAGAUAAAAUUCAGGACCAACUGUUAGCUUUUUGUGAAGCAAAAACAUUUGGUAAAAAAUCGUAGAAACCCCAAUAAGUCGAUUUAUAGUUGAUAGAAGAAGUAUGAUUUGGUGUUGGUGUGUGUGAACUUCUGACAUUUUGAUCUCUGAAUGCUAGUUGGACAUUUUGCUAGUCUGGCAUUUUGAUAUCUGAAUGCUAGUUUGACAUUUUGAUAUCUGAAUCCCUUUCUCCUCUCAUCUUUUCUUCUUCUGCUCUCUGUCUGACCCCCUUCUCAUCUCUCUUUUGAACCAGGACGUCACCAUGGGAGAAGAGGGCGUGAUGUCUUGUGCUGCUGCUUGGGAGGGACGCCACGGGCCUCCCUCCACUUCUUCUUCUCUUCCCCUAACUCCAUCAAGGUGAUGGAUUGGUACAAUGACCUACUCCCCUGCUUCCUAUGCUAAUUUGGUGUGCAAUGUGGAUGUGAUGUAUUUUAGGCACGAUUAAAUACGUAUUUUCGUUCAACUUUGACUGAAACAACUUGUUGUUUUAGUUUCUUGUAUGAAGAACAAAUAUGACGAACACAUUUUCUUUUCCUUUUUGUUCAAGAUUCAUUUCUAAUUAUAAACCAAACUGAAAUUGCAAAUAGUCUAGAAUGAAUGAAGCAGAGAGUCCUUCCUUCUUUGGCAGCUGGCACAAUUCCUUGUACAAUUCCUUCUCAAGGUGCUGGUGUUUGUGGAGGUGAUUGACCUCUUUUUUUUCACUCUGUGUAUCAAGGUGCAACUGCUGAGGAUUGAUAGGUGUUGUUCGGUGUACCUCGACAUGAUUUCCAGGACAUGAAAUGUGAGCUAUCUAAGCUGAUUCUUUGUUCCCGAACAUGAUUUAUCCUUCGAUUUGAUCAACAUUAUCUUGUUAUGUCUCUUGUCUAUCAUGUGCAGCGGCAACAGGAUUUGCAGAGUACAAGGGUGGGCUCAUCGAGGUUUGUGGUGGUAGGCUCGCUCGGCCCUGGCAUCUUCUGUUGAACGGACAUGCUGCCUCUUCAGUGUCGGCUACAUGAGAGCCAUGGUGAGCUCUCUUCUCCCCGCCUCCGUUUGCUUGCUCUGAGCUUGUGCUUGUGAGAAAUUACAUGUCACCUCGCUUGAACUCCCUAGCUACACCACACCUUGUUGAAUACACUAGUCAUGCUCUUGCAUACAUGUUUUGUUGGACGAAAAAAUGUACAAUGAUCUACUCCUUGGGAUAUUAAUUCUUAUGAUAUAUCUUGUAAUUUACUUUAUUGUAAAAGUUAAACCCACUACACAUGUUGAGUAGAAAUUGUUUUAGUUUGUCAUACAUAAUUGCCUAUGCUUGUUGGUAGCUAUUAAGUGUAUAAUUCAUCAUGGAAGCAUAGGAAUGUGAUGGACAUCAUCAGAUUACAUUUAUGUUCUGAACUUAUAUAUUUAAACUCAGUGUUUAGAUUCUGUAUCUGUAAUCAUAAGCUUCACUUGUAGUCUGGUCGUUCUAAGACAUAUUAUUGUUUGAGUUAAGUUCACCGAACAAUACUUAAAAUUUCAGGAAUCAAUGAAGCUGACCUCCUUGUAGAGUUGUGCGAGGUACCAAAUGAUGACCUACUCGCGCAGUUGUGAUAGGUACCGAUGACCUCCUCAUACUCACCGAUAACAAGUCUGGUUUCACAUUUGUUGGGCACUAUGCUUUUGGUGUAUGAUAUGGCUAGGAGAAAACACACAGUUUCCUGCAUUGUCUGAUAAUGUCAAUUUGUUCUGUAAGAUCUGAGUUUAUUGUACUAUAAAUGGUGAUAAUAUUGCGCCUAGUAUGUUCACGACCUUUUACAUUGUAUGGAUAAUUGGAUAGACUGAGCUACCGUCUUCCCCUGUAUACUCCGCAGUCAAACACAUAUGAUAGAGUAGAUAUUUUCUACCUGUAGCAUCAUGGAGGUAUUAACUACCUGAUGUAUUCGUAGAACAACAUCAUGUUUGAAUAUGCCAAAUGUUUGGGCCUAAUGAUGUUCUGUAUUGGGCGGCUGGUUUAUUACUUUCUUUCAAGGUUUAUGUGCAAUGUUGGAUUAAUGAUUGAAGUGCAUUAGCGGUUUAUCUUCUUCUUCACAAGUCUGUUUGCAAUGGAUGGACAUAACUGUCAUUUUUACCUCUUGCAUAUUUGACAUAAAUGACAAUAGCAGUAGGUAUUGAAAUAUAUGUGAAGGUAGAAGCUAUCAUUGUUUCCUUGUGGGUCGUAAUUCUUUCUCUCCAGACGCGUAUACUGCCUGAUGUAUCGCUCAUGCUCAUAUUCUGUAUCGAGAUAGUCCUAAUAUCCAUCGGGUUGUAGAUUGAUUACCCCUGAAAAAGCUAUGCUUCUUUCCUUGGAUGAUAAGCAUGGUCGGCAGCUAUGUGGAAUCCUUAAGAUAAGUGGUCUUUAGUUUCUUUUGGUGCAUCUGCGUGCACAUAACAGUCUGUUAAUUUCUCUUUGUAUAAUGAAGAAAAUAUGUCGUUGUCGUUUGUUUAUUAUUAUCUAUCAUCUGUAGAUUGAUUUUUAGGCCAUCAGUACUUCUAUGUAUAAUUUCUAGUCUCUUGAAUGAAUAAUUUUUCUUUAGGUGCCAUGCAUCUUGUGUUACUACAUACAUUUGUCGUGAAGUACAUGGUUCCAGAACUAUGGUAACCCGUAGUUUGCUCAAUUGGUGAUAGUAGGAUGAUGGAAACAUCACUACUGAAAGUAGUUCCUCUUCCUUCAACUAAUCAUCAUGUACUAGAGUUUCUCUUCUUCUUACUAUUGUUUGGUUUUUGGCGUCACUAGCUUAUACUGAAACGUGCAGACUUUACCCCUUGCUAGAUCCUUUGGUGGAGGUGACCCAUGUGAUGGUGAUUCGCUCCAACAGUUCUGGUCUGGAAGUGGUGGUGCUACACUGCUACUGCUCCUAUGAUGGCUAUGCAUUGGUAGGCUCGGCAGCCUCCCUUGGCUGUCGUUGUGAUGGUGAAGCUCGGCCUAGGCUACAACCACUUCCGAUGAGCUCCUCAGGUCGCCUUCUACCCCUCCUACUCACUCCAUGAUUCUUUGCUUUGCCUUUGUGAGGUGUAAUUGUUUAAUUCUUGUCAUAGUCGAGAAUUGGAUGAUAUAUUGUAUCUGUCAUGAGGUACAUGGUUCAUGGAUAUGCCAACCUGCAGCUUGUUGUACUAGUGAUAGUAGGAUAAUGCAAGUUUUGACAAUCCAUACAUAUUCCUGCAUGUUAGUGUCUCUCCAUGUAAGUACGAAUUCUAGUGAGAAGAAUACAAUUAUUAUUUAACCAGUCCAGAUUUUCAACAUUUGAUGUGCUUCCAAGGGACACAGAUCUCUACUCUUCUAUAUAAUACACACUUUGUUCUACAAGCAAGUCAGUUGUACCAUGUUGUUACAUCACAACAAGGUGUCAUUUGAUGUACUAUUGUUGUUGAUGCUCCCUAGAGUCUAGAUGUAGAUGUACUGUUGCUGUUGAUGCUCUAGUUGUAGCCUGUACUAUUGCUGUUUUGCAACUACAGUGUUAGUUUCGCUGCUGCUAGCUGUUGGCUGCUACUAGUUAGUACUUAAUAGUUAUUGCUAGCAGUGCUAGUAGCUACUGCUGCUGAUAUUGCUUGUGCAAUUGUGCUAGUAGCCAGUAGAUGUUCAUUGCAUGACCUGCACUAGUAGCUAGUAGAUGUGUUGGUACCUGUACGCUAGUACUGUUGGUGUGUUGAAUGUCUUAGUAGAACAUCAUCAGGUUGAUGUGUUGUAGUCAAGUUUUGGAAGUUUUGCCAUGCCAUGCUGAGUGUUUACUGAACUGAGGUAUUUGGGGAUUUAUGUGUAAUUUUAUUCUCUUGAAUGGAUAUUUUUUAUUGGCAAUCAUUUAACUUCCACUGUAUCUCACUUAUAAUGUUUUUGAGGUGGCUGCUGUUGUGACCAUGAUCCGAAGAAGCUUGGAGAUGUGCACUAUAGUUUUAGUUGAUGUUGCCACCAUGUUUUGAUGCAUGUGUAUUUAUUUUUGAUUGUAUGCAAACUUGAUGGAUCAUGCAGACGUAUAUGUGUGGUUGUGAGUUUCAUUGAGUGAUUUCUGGAUUUGAUUAUUUAAAUGAGAGAAUUAUUGAUUGUUUGCUGUUGAAUGUGUAAAAGAAAUCUGUGACUAAAAAGGCUGAAUGUUCUAUUGGAUCGAAUAAUAUUUGGGCUCUAAAAAGGCUAUGGCCCAAACAAUAGUGGAUUGGAAUAUUGCGCAUUUACGAAAAAGGUAUAAAAAGGCUUAAUUAAAUGGACUAUGAAAUGGAUGAGGCCUAGAAAUAAAAAGGCUGAAUUGUUGGGCUUGGCCCAUGAAGCCGAUCAAAAAUUGAUAGGAAAAAAAAUAAGGCCAAAUUAUUGGGCUCGGCCCAUGUAAAACAUCGAAUUAGACCGGGCUGAAUCUUGUCAAUGACCUUUUCAAUUGGUCGCAAUUUUGCCACAUCAGAUUGCCACGUCGGAUCCGACGUGGCCUGGGUAGACAGCCAGUGACCAAAACAAAAGGUCAUGGGUUCAACGACCUUUUGUUUUUGUCAUAAACGUCUACGACCUUAUCCGAAAGAAGGUCGUUAAUUUCAGUUUAUGACUGCCAGCUUUUGACCAUCUGUUUUUCGUCACAAAAAGGUCACAAAUGAAAAUCAAUGAGCUUUCAGCGACCAAUAGUGAGGGUCACAAGUUGACAUAUUUCUUAUAGUGGGCAAGGGCAAAAUGGUCAUUUUCAGAAUGUUAGAACAUUAUGAAAACGCCACCAACAAAACAGGCUCGACGAACAGAGAACGUGGGCUUUUCAAUCACUUCAAUUGGAGUUAUGGUUGCGGAGACAUGGCUGUUCGUUCAUUAGGCAAAAAAUCAAAUAAAAACUAUUCGUUUCUACUCAUAAUGGAUGAACGUUCACAAAAUAGAGGUUACAGUCAGGGGCUGGAAAACUGAAAGCACAGUUUGGUUUAAUACAUCUUCGAUCGGAGAAAAUGUAAUCUUGCCCGAAGAGCCACUAGAAUACGCUUUUGGGAGGGGAAGUCAUAUUCUAUGGAAUACGCCUCCACUUAUCGAGCUGGACCAGGGCUGGAGAGGCUGACGAGUGGGGUUGUGAGGGAAGUGGGGCCCGCCUGGCCCAGCUCGUAUACUUCCUCGCCCUGUCCCCCCGUGCGGAACAUAGGAGGGCUAGAGCAGGGGCACUGCUGGUGCUGGACCGGCCGGCUCCAGCACCUCCGGUCGAGGCGAGGCCACCGGCUGGACCGGAGCGGAGCGCCGCGUCCACUUGAAUGCAAUAGCCGCGCCGAGGAGAGGUUGAGCGAUGGCUGUAUGCAGUGGCCACUGGCAGGGGCGGCGACCGAACUUUGGGCGCGUGGCCAUAGAGGCUCCAACGACAAAACAAGGGGAGGGGAAGGUGCGCCAGAGUGUAGGGGAGUUACUAGUAGACGAAGGAGGAAGGAAGGGGCUCGGUGUGGCUCGAAUUCAAGCGGGGCCGGCGGCGGCCAUAGCGGACAGAGGUUAGGAGGAGAGGCUCCGGUGCUCGAGGAGAGUGCUAUGGGUGGCGACUAGAUGUGGAGGAGUUCAAGGGAGAUACUUAUAGCCGUAGGGAGGGCUUGGGAAGGCUCUAUAGCACACGGUCGACAAUCCAUGGAGGUGGGGACGGCGGUCGGGUGACGGGCACGGCCAGAGAACCGCGUAGGACGUGACCAGAGAGAGGGUGAGGGGUCCACAGCGAGGGCGACAACACGGGGAAGCUCUUGGGCAAAGCUAGGCGAUGAGAGCUUGAGGGAACAGAUGAAGACGAGGGCCCCAUUCUCCAAAGCACAUGGAUGGGCAUGCCAGUCGCGUAGUCACCGCGUGAAUGCGAUGGUGACCCGUGCUCUGGUCGGCCCAACCAUGUUUGAGAGACUAGUCAUUCAAGAGAGAGUGCCAAGGAUCAAAGGAACAAGAACACGGGCUCAAGAAUUGACCACAGCUUGCUAGAAGACAAAGGAACAACAAAGUGUUUGUACUGGGUGGGGGAGAAUGGCCUAGCGAAAGAUUCUGAGAUUUGUUUGGGGUUGAUCAUACACAAAGAUGACCAUUCAGGACAAAAUAGGAAAAUGAAUAAUCCUGAAAUAUUUUUGAACUGGAGGAGGAUGUGUUUUGACAUAUUGGUGGAAUAUAUGAUCCCAAGAAUUUAUGAGAAUUCUGUGGGAAUUUUGGGAAUGACAGAAAUAUAGGUUGCUUCACAACCUCGGGCAAACAGGGUUAUUCCUUUGAUACAAAAAAAGGAAUAUUCCCAAGAAUAAGAAUUUGUGAUUGGGCUAAUAUGGAAAUGACAUGGUCUUGGUAUGGGUUUGAGGAUGACAAGCCACUUGGGAGACUGAGAAGAGAUGAUCUUCCCACAUUUCCAGACCACAGAAAGCCACAGAAAAGCAAUCCAAAGCAAAAAUUCAAUGAAUCCAAAGAAAAAAGAAAGAGACAAAGAUCAGGGUAUUACAAACCUUCUCCCCUUAAAGAAAUCUCGUCCUCGAAAUUUGGUUGCUCAGGGAACAAGUAUGAAUAUUCUGUCUCAAGGAAACCGUUUCCAACUCGGGUAUGUUUUUUUGGUUUAUAUAUGAUGUUCCCACUAAAUUUCAUAUGACUUAACUGCCUCACUCUGGGUUGUUUUGCUCACUAUAUCCAUAUUCUGACAAGGCUUACCUGAUAUGUUACUCUGAUUCCAACUCUUUUAUAUCUGCUAGCUUAUCUAAUAUAUUGUCAUGACUGGCAUAUGUCAUCUUCCCACAUGUGCAGUUGUGAUUUCCAAUUGACAUGUCAUUCUUCUCUACAGCUGUUGGGGAUAUAAUCCCAUGAUAUAACCUGCCAUGGUUAGGUCGGGUCAUUUAGGUGGUGGCUGAGGAGCAAGGAUUCAAGAUGGGCUGAGGCGCCUAGGUCAAGACCCAUUAGGCGGCUCAUAGAGUGGGACAGCUUAGGGCCCAACAUCCGAAGAUGGCGGCUCAUGGCCGUGAAGACCAAGUUGCCGGGAGUUUGCUUGCUUAAGAGACAAGUUAGGAACAUACCAAGUCACGGGUCAUAGUACGACCCAGACUCGUGUAAGCCCUGGGUAUAAAGGCAGGUCUCAGGAGAGAUAGGACUAAGUUUCAAUCGAUCAAUAGCUAGGUCAAGCAAUCCACUCACUUGUAUUGAUCUCCAAAGGAAUAACAAAAACAAGAAGGAAGUAGGAUAUUACCUCGAUCGUAAGGGGCCGAACCUAGGUAAACUCGUGUCUCUCAAUUCCGCUCAACCCCGACAAGCUAACCUCCUAGUUGCAAUGGCCUCACGAGUAAGUCCUCACAAUAGGACAUUUGCCGUGACAAAACCAUGAGAGUUGGCACCCACCAUGGGGCGAGCUCAUGGUGGUUUCCAGUUCUUGAAGGGCUCUUUCCUAGGGAUCGAGGAAUAUGUCGUUGGCAGGAUGACCAAGAGUCGUCGUGGAAAGCUCUACAUCCACGAUGCCAGCUGGGGCCCCGAGGCCGACUCAAUCGAGUACAGGUACCGGGUCCCCUUCAGCAGAAUCCACGUAUUCAUCAGCAAGAUCUGUAGAUCCAAGCUUGAGCUGGACACCUACACUGACCUCGUCGAGCCGGCUCGACAUGCGCCACCCGCCCGGUUCCAUGCUUCCGAAAGCAUGUUUUCGCGGGUGCACGCAAGGUGUGGAACCGCGGAAAAUUCCGUGUCUGGAGGAGAGACUCUCAUCUACUCCGAUGCUGAAUCUUCAACAGGAGAGACAGAGUCAAUCUACCAGCUUCAAGACGGCAGGCUUGGGGGCUGUUCUGAUGGAACAGUAUUCCGUACCCGUACGAGCCACCGAGCCGCCAUCUUCAUAGAGGGUAUGGUGCCGGCUCUCAACAUCACGAUGGACAGAGCGACAGCAACGACGGGCCCUUCAGGAUCCGGUUCAGCCAAGCCCCCGGCUCAGGUUUUAUUUGAGUUGAUGGACACAUUGACGACCUUAUAGGGGACCGAGGUCACGGCAGAAAACCAGGCGAAGUGCAAUACGGAGAUUGCGAAUAUUCGGGAACAAAUGACCAAGUCCCCGGAGGAUAUAAAUGCUAAAAACGCAAAGACGACUGCACUACAAGCUUAGGUUAAUGCUGAGGCGGAGCGCCCGAAAGCGGAGGCUUGGUGUUUAACUCUUGAUCAGAACACAUCUAGUGUGGUUUACAAGAGGAGAUAUCAGAGCCAUUUACCUCCGGGUUACGAACCAACACGUUUGUUUAACACUCUCGGGGCAGGCCCAAGUACUCCAGGAGCGUUGGUUAUACCCCAAUUAUCCAUGGAUGCACCUAGAAACAGAGCAGCAACCCAACCUCACCAGCCAGAGCCGGUCCUGAGAGAAGAGCCAGGACCAACCCGCCCCCCAUUCGGACGCCGCCAUCGUGCUUUCCGACACCGCCGGGUCACUUCUCCAACCCGGUGGAUAACAUGGUGGCAGCGGCAACCCAGCUUACCACAAUUCCCAUUGUCGGUGAAUCACCAAUAGCAGUUGAAACCCGGAAUGCCAUUGAACUGUUGCAGAUAGUGAUCACUCAGCAAGCUAAUUACUCUUACAGCCGGCACCAUGUACACUCUACACUGAUAUCGAUUCAUAGUAUAGCCAGCAUGCGGAGUCGCCGGCGGUUUCAAGCAGCGAACGAUGCCGUAACCCGCCAUAGGAUAACCCAUCCCUUAUCCCGAGGACUGAUGCUCAAGCAAUUGUGGAUGGUGCAAGGGUCCAUAGAGAGGCAGAGGCAGCAAAGCAGGGGCCUUAUCAGCUGCCCCCAACGGCGUUUCUUCAUCUUCUAUAGGAGCCGGGUCUAGUGCGAGAACCAUUGGAAUGUCGUGUCUAGUUCCAUCUUUAUGUAACGAGCGCAUGCCUAAAGAUUUUAAGGGUCCUCGCAAAGUGCCCAAUUACAUGACGGAUCUCCCUCUGGAGGCUUGGAUUGAAAGCUACGAGCUCGCCAUGGAGAUGUUGGACGUCAGUGAGGCGCUGUGUGCCAAGUAUUUCGAUGUGAUCUGGAUGAGUCGGCCCAUCAUUUGGCUCGCUGGAUUGCGGCUAUCAUCCACUCUUCAGAUAGCAUCCAGGAGGCUCAAGCUGUGUUGCUCUUGGAGAAAAACUGUCAUUUUUAGCCUCUUGGGCAAAAGCUCAGGCGGCUUAAGCGCAAGUGCACGGACAUGGGAAAUCUCAUGGACAUACUUACCAGAUAUGUUAAUUCUGACGCUAUGAAGGAUACUGGUUCCGAUGAUGAUAAAUCUAGCAAGGGCAAGAAAAACGGCAACGACAAGGGACAACAGCAACAUGCCCAGGCACAAAAUGGUAACGAGAACAAUUAUGGUAAUGGUGGUAAGCGCAGACACCCCGAUGGCGGGACAGAUCUGGUGGCUAACACUAAUACAGGUUAGAAGACCCAGCGUCGCAACAACAAGCAGCCAUAUAAUGGAGGGAAACCGAAAUAUUAUGAGGAAGCCCUUAAUGCACCGUGUCCAAAGCAGUGUUAUCCUAACAAGCCAUCUUCUCAUGCUUGGAAGGAUUGUUACAUCAUGCAGGAGUUCAGGAAUCAGUCAUUUCAACAACAUCAUGGCAACAACAAUGGGCCGCUCGGCGGGUCAGGCGGUUUCCAAGGAGCCGACUUUAGUGGCGGCCGCUCAAAUUUAGGUUACUAGAACCAAGGGAAUCAUGGUGGUUAUAGUCAGUAGUCUGGUCAGGAUAGUCAGUAGCAAAACAAUCAAUCCAAUAUUAGAGUAAUCCUAAGCAGCUUAACCAUGGCCAAUAUCAUGUUUUCACUACAAACACUUGCAAGCAUGACCGGAAAGUCCAGAAGCGGGCGGUCAACACGGUUGAGCCAGCGGUCCCCCAAUAUUCGAGAUGUUCUAAGCACACGAUUACCUGGAGACGGGCGGAUCACCCAUCCCGGAUUGAUGAUCCGGGUCAUCUAGCUCUGUUGGUAGCCCCUCAAGUGGGCAGUUACAAGUUCACAAAGGUACUUAUGGAUGGUGGAAGCAGCAUCAACAUAUUGUGCUAUGACACUUUAUGAUGGAUAAAUCUGAUAGAGAAGGAUCUUAAGCCAUCCUCCACAUUGUUUCAUGGAGUGGUGCCUGGCAAGUCAGUUUACGCUAUUGGAAAGAUAGCUCUAGAAGUGGCCUUUGGUAAUCAGUAUAAUUACAAAGCAGAGACAUUGUGGUUUGAGGUGGUCAAGAUCAAGAGUCCUUAUCAUGCACUGUUUGGACGGCCAGCUUACGCUAAAUUCAUGGCUCGCCCUUGUCAUAUCUAUUUGCAGUUGAAGAUCCCAGGGCCAUGAGGGAUGAUAACAGUUCACGAAAAUCACAAACUCGCCCCGGAGUGCGAAGAAGGAGAUGCUACUUACGCAGAGUCGGCUUGUGCUACUGAGGAGCUUAAGUUCUAUAAAGAUAUGUUGACCGAGCUGAUAUGACCCCUCUGAACAAACACACUACUAAGAAGGACCCAUUGCUCAUGUUUAAGUCGGCAAAGGACACACAGCAAGUGGAUUUUGUCCCUCGUGAUUCUUCUCAGCAGUUCACCAUUGGGACCGAGAUGGAUCCCAAAUAGGAAAGCAUGCUCAUUGAGUUCAUCCGUGAGAAUCAGGACAUCUUUGCAUGGAAACCUUCUGACAUGCCAGGUGUACCAAGAUAAUUCACUGAGCACCACCUUAAGUGGAUCCUAAGAUGAAACAUGUCCGAUAGGUCCUUCAUCGUUUUAACGAGGAGCGACGCAAGGCCAUUGGAGAAGAAGUGGCCCGACUCCUAGCCGUCGGGUUCAUCAUUGAUGUUUUUCACCCUCAAUGGUUUGCUAACCAUGUGCUCAUGCUCAAGAAAAAUGGCACUUGGCAUAUGUGUGUUGAUUACACAGAUCUUAACAAGGCUUGUCCAACUGAUCCAUUGGCUCUCCCCCGUAUGACCAAAUCAUUGAUGCAACAUCUGAUUGUGAGAGUUUGUGUUACCUGGAUGCUUAUUUUUGUUAUCAUCAGAUCAAGAUGGCAGUGGAGGACCGGGAUAAGACAACCUUCAGCACACCCUUUGGAGCUUUCUAUUAUGUGUCUAUGCCUUUUGGGCUUAAGAGUGCUCACGCGACUUACCAACGAUGUGUUCAGAACUGCUUUCAUGGGCAGAUUAGACACAACGUUCAUGCUUACAAUGACGACAUUGUGGAAGAAGGACACCUUGCUUGAUAGUUUGAAAGAAUCUUUUGAUAACCUCUGGGUUUACAAGAUGAUGCUUAACCCGGCCAAGUGCGUUUUAUAUGUGCCCGCAGGAAAGUUGCUAGGUUUUCUGGUUUCCGAAAGGGCCAUCGAAGCUAACCCGGAGAAGAUCAAGGCUAUCACAUCUCUGUCUAAGCUGGCGUGUAUCAAUGAUGUUCAAUGCCUGGCGGGUCGCAUUGCAGCCUUGAUCCGUUUUGUAAACCGCCUUGGGGAGAAGGUGAUUCCCCUAUACCAGAUGACAAAAAAGACUAAUCAUUUCAUCUAGAGGGAUGCUGCUAAUGAGGCUUUUAAGGCGCUUAAGAAGCAAUAGCUGAGCCGCCCAUCUUGGCUACUCUAAUAGAUAAAGAGCCUCUUCUCCUGUACAUGGUGGCUAAAACUAAAGCUGUCAGCAUGGCAGUUGUUGUGGAGUAAAAAGAGGCGGGCAAAGAGUAUCCGGUCCAACGUUCAACUUAUUAUGUCAGCGAAGUCUUGAGGGAGUCCAAGCAGAGAUACCCACAUUGGCAGAAGCUGGUGUUUUGGGGUGUUCAUAGCUAGCCACAAACUCAAGCAUUAUUUCCUUGGGCAUCCAAUCACUAUGGUCAGUUCUGCUCCUCUGGGGGAUAUCAUUCAAAAUAGAGAGGCCAUUGGCCAGGUUGCUAAGUGCGCAAUUGAGCUUGGGCCACAUCAUCUAAAGUAUGUGCCUAGAACAACCAUCAAGUCUCAACCUUUGGUAGAUUUUAUCAAUUAUUGGACAGAGCUAAGAAGACCCAAGGAGAAGCCAGACAAUACGUAUUGGACGAUACACUUAGAUGGAUCCAGGAAGUUGGAAGGAUCGGGGGCUGGAGUUAUUUUAUCUUCCCCACGGGGUGAUAAGUUUUGCUAUGUCUUGAGACUUAUGUUUCCUUGUACUAACAAUGCAGCUGAGUAUGAAGCUUUAGUACACGGGCUCCGUCUGGCCAAGGAGAUAUACUUGAACCGGGUAAGAUGCCUUGGCGACUUAGACCUUGUUGCACAGCAAGUAUGAGGGAAGUGGAAUUCUAAGACCCGCUCAUGGCGGCUUAUCAUCAGGCAGUGACCAAUAUUGUUGGUAACUUUUAUCAAGUGGAUCACAUAGAUUGGCGGCAAAAUGAGCCAACUGAUGCACUGUUCCGGCUAGGGUCUCAGCAUAAGCCGGUUCCCCCUAAUGUGUUCUUGAUGUCCUGCAUAAUCCUUCUGCCAAGUUACCCUCAGAAGAAGACCUAGCCAUCCCUGACCCGGAGGGGCAGUUGGUGACGUCUCUAUGUUCUAUUCCAGAUUGGACGAAGCCUUACAUAUCUUACUUGACUCGGGGCGAGUUGCCAGAAGAUGAACUUUUGUCACGGCGGAUUAUAAGGCGGUCUAAGUCCAUGACAAUUGUCAAUGGCGAGUUACACAAAUGCAAUGUAACUGGCGUGUUUCAAUGUUGUGUGUCCCCUGAUGAAGGCUGAGAAAUUUUACAAGAAAUUCAUGCAAGAGACUAUGGUCAUCAUGCCGGGUCAAGAUCUCUCAUGGCUAAAGCUUUUUGACACAGUUUUUUUUCUGGUUGACGGCUCACGCUGAUGUAGAGGACAUUGUCCGUAAGUGUAAUGGUUGCCAAAAAAUUUCACGACAAGCUCAUGUGCCGGCUCAAGAAUUGCGGAUGAUCCCAAUAACUUAAAUGUUUGCGGUUUGGGGGCUUGAUAUGGUCAGUCCCUUCAAGAGGUCUAAGGACAAGAAAACUCACCUUUUUGUUGCAGGUGACAAAUUUACAAAGUGGAUUCAAGCAGAGCCAGUCAUCAAUUGUGAGGCGGCAACUACAGUUUAGUUUAUAAAGAGGUUGAUCUUCCAUUUUGGUUAUCCUCAUAGUAUCAUCACCAACAAUGGGACAAAUCUAUCUAAGGGUGCUAUGAAAGAAUUCUGUCAAAGCGAGCAUAUCUGACUUGAUGUUUCAUCUAUGGCUCAUCCACAAUCCAAUGGCCAAGUGAGUGUGCUAACCAGGAGAUAUUAUGAGGGAUCAAGCUCUGGCUCAUGGUUUCUUUGGAGCGCACCCCGGGUUGUUGGGAUGAAGAGCUUCCUGCAGUUCUGUGGAGCAUAAGGACUACCCCCAAAAGAUCGACGGGUUACACGCCGUUCUUCAUGGUUUAUGGUGCAGAGGUGGUUCUCCCAACUAAUAUCCAUCAUGACUCGCCUAGGGUGGUGGCAUACAUUGAAUCAGACAGUGAGAAAGCCCAUCAAAUUGCUCUGGAUGCCUUGGAGGAGGAACGUGAUCUUGUUGCGGCUCGACCGGCGAUUUACCAGCAAGACAUGCGUCACUAUCAUAGCUGCAGGUUUCGAAGCCGCACUUUCCAGGAGGGCGACUUAGUGCUCCAUUUGAUUCAGGAUUAGACAAUCAUGCAUAAGCUUUCACCUCCUUGGGAAGGGCCCUUUGUGGUCAGCAAAAACCUCAACAAUGGGUCAUAUUAUCUCGUCGACAUAUGUGAGCACAAUAGGUCACGUACCUUUGAGAAGGAGACCAAUAGGCCUUGGAAUAUUUCUCAUCUUCGGCCUUACUACACUUGAGCCAUCGGCUCUAGUCAUUGUACACACAUAUCAUGUAUAUAUCUUUUAUGAUGAAAUAUAAUAAAGCAGGCAUCCCUGAAACUUGGGGCCUCUAUAGUUUCAUCUCAUAUAUUGUGCAUGAGUAUUUUAUUUGUUGAUCAUAGGUCACUUGGGGGCUUCCAACUCAUUGAGUUUAGCUUUCUCACCCUUUUGACCUGGCAAAAAAUGCCACCUUAUUGGUUAAACCUUCAUGUAUUCUUGAUGCUACUCCAUAAAGAUGACCCGUCGUACUCUUGACAAGUCAAUUUUUAUGACCCUGAACUUGUGAAAGUUAAAGUGGCGGAUUAAGUCAUGUGAGAGAUGGCUUACGGAAAUCGAGGAUAAACCAAGGCUAUCAUGCCAGCUUCCUUGAAGCAAGACUUGAGCCUCGAAAGCCAGUCUUUUUCUCAAGCCUCGGAAGCCGACAUACAAUUAUUCCGUAUAUAUGAAUAUUGUUUAUCUUUGUUUUUUGUAGGAUAUUUUAAAAUCUUAAUCACAUUAUAGCAAUGACUAUACAUCUCCGAGUCAAAAGACCUCCGGGUUGCUUAUGAUGGCUAUUGAGCCUUUGUGGACCAUGAGUCACCGGGUUAUCAACCCGCAAUUGCUUUUAAACAAUCAAUUUUCAUGACUAUAAGUCAUCGAUACAUAACUCGCUAGAUUAUUUCACACCAACUAUGAAUUGGUGGAAUUUUUUGCACAUGUCAGAGGUAUCUGCACUUAAAGGUUGCGGCACCCAACUUAUCAAAACAAGUGCAAGAAAUGGUUGCAUGAUAUUCGAACACAAGCCGCCCAAGAUGGGUUAGAUGGGCAGACAUUGAUCCAAAAAAAUCAAACAUCAGACAGAUAAGUGUUUGAACAAAAGUUAAACAUGCAUGAAGGCACGGCAAAAGCAACCAAGUAUUUCAACUAAGCCUAUUACAUGGCUACAGGUGAGACCAGAAUAUUCAAAGUUUUUUGGCAGAGAAUAAACAACUCUUGCAAGACGGUCUUUGUGCCAUCCACCUUGAUGACCUCCAAUAGUUGAAGCUUCCGAGUUAUCCUACACCGACUCUUCUGUUUCUUGAAUCUGAAGGUUAUCCAAUUUCCAGUUGACAUCUGUUAGGCUUCAAAGACGGCUUCAUCAUGGAGGAUAAUAGACGGGUCAACAUCAGGUACAAAGUGAUGCUUACGCCGUUGAGGAGUUAAGUCAAAUGAUCUCAAUUUGGAGGUGGCACUCGUGUGUUGUUGCUAUCGUCAGCCAGUUGAUAUUUGUUCAACUCCAUCUCUGCGACAAGCUGACUUGCCAAUGGUCGGGUCUCUUUCUCACGAUGAGCAUAGUAAGAUGGUGUAAAAUCAGUUCCGUCAUCUUUUGUGGUGGGGAACCACGGCCACCUAUGGGGCCAUCAGCCCCUUGUGGUUCGACAGGGGGAUGAGCAUAUUGUACAAAGAGUGGAGAACAUAGCAUAGCACAACAGAGAUCACACGGGCAAUUUUGCCCAGGUUCAGGCCAUUGCGAGGCGUAAAACCCUACUCCUGCUUUGGUGGAUUGAUGGGAGGACCGUGGUAGAGACGCCGCGCUCUAGCCCGACAGGGUUACCAUGGGGCGAGAGCAGCUACACACGUAUGAGUACACAAGGGUCUAAAUCCUUUCUAUGGUUGCCACACGCCUCUUUUUAUAGGUCAAGGGGCCACCACAAUGGCAAAUCAGUCAUUGUGUACUAAUUAGAUAGCAAACAGUGCUAUCAUACCUAACUCUGCAGACAAGGAAGAGCGCAUUAAAUGCGCCGCUUAGUGUCACAUCAUAACAUGCCCGGCAAGCCUUGUGCCACGCCCAAGAUGCGACCCUAUCCUAAAGGAACUCGAAGGUCCCACCAAGGAUAGAAGCGCAUCUUGAAGACGCUUUUGCAAGGUGGAUAUCAUUACAUCAACAUUACAUAAUAGAUGGGGAUACAUACAUAAGGCAUACAAUGCCACACGAAUACAACAAUACAUCAUACAUAAGAGCAACAUCUGACUACGGAUGAAACACAAACAGAAGCUCAAAUGACAUCCACCCUGCUAGCCCAGGCUGCCGACCUGGAACCUAUCCCCUGAUCAAAGAAGAAGCAGAAGAAGAACUCCAAAGUAAGCAAACAUCGCUCUCGCGUAAUGAUCAUCGCAUAACCUGCACCUGCAACUGGUGUUGUAGUAAUCUGUGAGCCACGAGGACUCAGCAAUCCCAUUACCAUGGGUAUCAAGACUAGCAAAGCAUAAUGGGAAAGGAAGGGGUAAAGUGGUGAGGUUGCAGCAGCGACUAAGCAUAUAUGGUGGCUAACAUACGCAAAUAAGAGCGAGAAGAGAGCAAACGGAAUGGUCGUGAAGCUAGCAAUGAUCAAGAGGUGAUCCUGAACUCCUACUUACGGCAAACAUAACCCAAAACCGUGUUCACUUCCCGGACUUCGCCGAAAAGAGACCAUCAUGGCUACACACGCGGUUGAUGCAUUUUAAAUCAGAUCUGGUGUCAAGUUAUCUACAACCGGAUAUUGAUAAAUUCCCAUCUGCCACAUAACCGCGGGCACGGCUCUCCAAAGUUUAUAUCCUGCAGGGGUGUCCCAACUUACCCCAUGAUAAGCUCUCGCGAUCACCGAAGGAUAUUCCUUCUCCCAGGAAGACCCGAUCAGUCUCGGAAUCCCGGUUUACAAGACGUUUCAUGUCACAUCCCUAGUCCUGGUAUGCAGUAGGCUAGCCCUUCAUGUGUGCAUCAUGCUUAACUUUCAAAUGAAUUUGAAAUGGGGGCUGUUCAAACCCUAGCACCUAAUGAAUUCUACUAGGUUCAACUAAAAAAUAUUUUCAAUAAACCCAAAAUGCUCCUUAGAAAAGUUCAUGAUUUUUGUUAAAGGUGAAAACCUCUGCCAAAAAUGAUGCACAUAUUUCUAGGCCAUUCUGGAUUUUUGAAUUAAAUCUUAUUGUAUUUGACUUUGGGCAUUUAAAUUCUAUAAAUAAUUUAAAUGUUCAAAUAAUGUUGGAACUAUUUUUGGGCCACUGAAAUAAUUCAGCAAGUGUCCAUGAAUAUUUUCAGGAUUUUAGGAAAUGCCUUGGUAUUUUUCCUAAGCUCAAAACAAAGGCAAAUAAUUAGAAAACAAAAACAAAUUAGAAAACAGAAGAGAGGGAGAGCUUACCUGGCGCUCACCUGGCAGCCCAGCCAGCCCACCUGGCAGCCCACUGGUCGGCCCAGCACUGUGCUAGCCCGUGCCAGCCACCCGCUUCCUCUCGCCAGGCAGGCAGAGAGGAGCGCGCCGGCGCGCGCGCAGGCGCCACGCCACCAGGCUGUCUGCCUGCGUCGCCUGGCCACCGCGACGCCUCACGUCUUCUCCUCGGCGCCAGCCUGACCCCUCUGGCCUAUCCACUCCUCCUCUCCCCUCCUCUGCUCCCUCUCUCGAGCACACCCGAGCAGAGCUCGUCGUCGCCGACGCCAUUUACCGCGGCCACCGUCCAUCCCGUGCCUCCCCGAUGAGUCCAAAGGAACCGACAUCGCCUUCCGCAUCGUCUACACCAAUCCAUUCGACCGCGGGAGCCCUGUACCGUCUUCCCCGAGCUCAUCCCCAACCUCCGGCCGCCGGCAACCUCAUCGGCGAUUCGCCGCCGUCUCCGCCUCCCCGAGCCGCUGAGUCCUUCCUUGAGAUCGCUGUGAGCUUCGACACCUUUCCCCCUUCCCCCUGAGCUCGUUUCUGUCCUCUAGCUAUGCCAAACGCCGUACCCGAGUGCCGCCGUCCGCCAUGGAUGUUGCUCUCGCAGCCACCGUGCGACUCCGCUCGAGCUUGAGCCUCCGGCGUGCUCCUGGAGCAAUGGAGAGGCCAACUCAGCCGCUAGCUGUCCCCAUAGUGCAUCGCAGCCUCGUGCCCGCAUGUUCCCAAACUCCGGCCACCGUCACGAGCUCCAUUUCGGCGAACUCCGGGCACCCCAGCUCCAGCCUCUACCAUGAGUGGAUGCGAGCGAGUUCCAGCUCCGCAUAGAUGCCCUCAGCGCGCCCAGCCGCGGCCUGUAGUGCAGCCCCGACCAACUCCGGCGAGCUCUCGCCGCUGCUGUGGUCGUCGGCAUCACCUGCUGACAUGGCGGAUUAGCUUAGUGCUGAUUACGUGAUUAGACUAACCCUAGGUCAAUGACAAAUGGGCCCCACGCUCUAAUUAACCCGAGUUUGUUUCUGUUUAAAUAAAACUAACCCCCCACGGGCCCCACAGGUCAGUUUGACUUGGCCCCGUCACACUUUGACCGACCCCACACAUCAGUGUUGACCAUGCUGACGUGUGUGUUGACCGGGCCCACAUGUCAGGGUCACCAACCAGCCCCAUCACUGACCAGUGGACUCCACUGGUCAGGUUUGGCCUGGAGGCGCCCAGUUGACCUGCUGACAUCAGGGUGAUGUCAAGCUGACGCAAUAUGUAUUUUCUGGAUUUAUUUUAAUUCAGGAAAUUCCAGAAAAUGUUUUAAACUUCUAAAAAUCAUAUAAAAUCAACCGUAACUCAGAAUGAAAUAAAUUAUAUAUGAAAAAUGAUCAGAAAAAUCCAAUCUAUCCAUUUGUACCAUUUUCAUGCAUGUUAGAACAACUUAUAGCUGCUGUUUAGCACAAAUCAUAUAAAGGGCUUUUAAAACAUCACAUAAGGAGUUUGAAUUUGAAUCUUGGAUUCAAACCAACUUCAUUUAACCCAUUGCUAGUUGCAUUAGCUCAAACCACAUCAUAUUGCCAUGUCACAUUCAUGCAUCAUAUUGUCGCAUUGCAUUUAUUGUGUUCUCCCUUGUUUGCCGGUAUUUGUCCCCUCUUAGUAGACGACGUUCCGACGAUGAGUUCGAUGACACCGAUGAAGAACUAUUACUAUCUUCAGAAGUGCCAGGCAAGCAAAACCCCCUUGUUCAUUCUGAUACAAACCCACUCUCUCGCUCUGCUCUCUUUUACUGCAUUAGGACAACAAUGAUUCAUCUGUUACUUGCUGCGGUAGCUGAACCCCUUUAUCCUCUGCAUGACCUGUCAUUGCCACAGUAAAUAGAUGAAACCCACUAGCAUGAGUAGGAGUUGUUUGAGACCUGAUGUGCCUACUCAUUCAUGCUUGUUUGUCAUGCCUGCUACUGCUUAGAGUUGAGUCAGGUCAUAUUCAUCGAGGAUGAAUUGGAAUGUGGUGAACAUGUCCUACUGUUGAGAGCUAAGUGUGUGAACACGAUUUGGUAAAGAGUAGCGGUGAGAGGCCAUGUAGGAGUACAUGGUGGGUUGUCUCAUUGCAGCCGUCCUCAGGAACUGAGUUCUGUGUUUGUGAUCCAUGAACAGCUACUACCACACAUUGGGAUCCUUAAUUGACUCUCUCGACUUAUUAAUCAACUCGAUCUCUGUCCAGGAGUUGCAACUAGUUUCUGGUGUUUGUAGGUAGUGUUAGUAGUCUACCAAGUGGCACCCGGUACAGGUGGGCUUGGGACAGACUAGGCACAGUGGCACGGUGUACCAAGUGGCACCCGGAUGGUGGGCUUGGGAACCCUGCUCACAUUGUUUGGGGCCGUGAGCGACACCCCGGCCGGAUCUCCUUGCGGAUGGAACCCGAAUAGGCGAUAAACCUGGACGAGAGACUUGUGUGGUUAGUCAGGUCGUGGCCGACUCCCUCGCCAGGCUUCCGCUUGAAGGUUGCCGAGAUACACGAGGUGUACUUGGUGGUAAGUGGCGAGAGCGUGUGUGAAGAAGUACACCCCUGCAGGGUUAAUAUGAUCUAUUCGAAUAGCCGUGUCCACGGUAAAGGACUUCUGGGUUGCCUGUACAGUUCAUAGAUAACUUGAAGUGGAUACUCUAAAAUACGCAAGAUAAGCGUGAGUGCUAUGGAUGGUGUUCUCAUAGGGAGACGUGAGCGGAUCCAUAGUGGUGUAUUGAUAUGGUGAAUAUGUGGACUCGUGUGCGCCACCUCAAAAGAGUUACUUGUAGUCAUAGUUCAGGAUAGCCACCGAGUCAAAGCUGGCUUGCUGUAGUUAAACCCCACCAUCCCCUUUGUUGAUAAUGAUGCAUAUGUAGUUAGUUCUGAUGUAAGUCUUGCUGGGUACAUUUGUACUCACGUUGCUUAAUUUAUGUUUUUGCAGAGAGACUUCAGUCUCGCUAGUAGUACCGCGUGGACUUCGAUGUUUAGCUUGUUACCUCAGCUACGAUCUUGUGCCCUCGGUAGGAUCUGGUAGAUAGUCAGGCUUCUUAGCCUUUUUCAUUUGUAGAUGUCUGUAUUCAGACAUGUUAAGAUUCCGCUUGAGCUUGACUUGUGUGCUCUGAAUGCUGGGUCAUGAGACCCAUGUUUGUAAUAUCUCGCUCCUCGGAGCCUAUUGAAUAAAUACUUGAGUUGUAGAGUCAUGUUGUGAUGCCAUGUUGUAUUUGCACAUAUCGAGCAUAUUGUGUGUAUGUUAUUGAAAUGCUUGGUAUGUGUGGGAUCUGACUAUCUAGUUGUUUAUCCUUAGUAGCCUCUCUUACCGGGAAAUGUCUCCUAGUGUUUCCACUGAGCCAUGGUAGCUUGCUACUGCUCCGGAACACUUAGGCUGGCCGGCAUGUGUCCUUCUUCAUUCCUGUGUCUGUCCCUUCGGGGAAAUGUCACGCGAUGAAUACCGGAGUCCUAUUAGCCCGCUAUAGCCCGGUUCACCGGAGUCCUGCUAGCCCAGUGCUACAGCCUUUAUUCACUCGCUGAUGACCGACACGUUCGAUGUUGAGUCAUGGAUGCCUGUCCCUGUAAGUUUGUGCCACUUUGGGUUCAUGACUAGCCUUGUCAGCCCGGGCUCCUUAUCAUAUGGAUGCUAGCGACACUAUCAUAUACGUGUGCCAAAAGACGCAAACGGUCCCAGGCAAAGGUAAGGCGACACUUGUGGGGCCACCGUGCGUGAGGCCGCAAAGUGAUAUGAGGUGUUACAUGCUAGAUCGAUGUGGCAUUGAGUCAGGGUCCUGACAUUUCAACAAUGGUAAAACAAGACCAGCAAGACCGCCCAGAUGUGCCAACAAAUCCCGAUAGGAGCUGCACAAAUCUCGUUCUCAGGGCACACCAGAUAAGCUAAGCGCACAGGUACCGACAUAACCCAAGUUGCCAAGGGAUGGUCCCGCACAGUGCUCUAGUUUGGACCAACACUCUGAGGAGCACUGGCCCGGGGGGUAAAAUAAAGAUGACCCUCGGUCUCCGGAAACCCAAGGGAAAAAGGGCUAGGUGUGGAAAAUGGUAAAACCAAGGUUGGGCCUUGCUGGAGGAGUUUUAUUCAAAGCAAACUGUCAAGGGGGUCCCAUAAAUCACCCAACCGCGUAAGGAACGCAAAAUCCGGGAACAUAACACCGGUAUGACGGAAACUAGGGCGGCAAGAGUGGAACAAAACACCAGGCAUAAGUCCGAGCCUUCCACCCUUUACCAAGUAUAUAGAUGCAUUAAUAAUAUAAGAGAUAUUGUGAUAUCCCAACAAAAUCCUGUCCACCAUGGGGCAAUCUUCAACUUCACCUGCAACUAACAACACUAUAAGAGGGGCUGAGCAAAGCGAUAACAUAGCCAAACAACGGUUUGCUAGGAAAGGUGAAAAGGUUAGAAGCUGACAUGGUAGUUUGGGAGGCUUGAAGAGCAAAUGAUAGGUAGCACAACAAAGCGAUAGAACGAAGCAACUAGCAUAGCAAUGAUAGUAGUGAGAUCUAGGGUAGCGGUCAUCUUGCCUGAAAUCCCGCUAGGAAGAAGAACGAGUCCAUGAAGAAGAUGAAGCCAUGAAGAUGAACCAAAUGUAGACGAACGAAUCCUCACAAUCGCAACGAAAUGGGAACUAUCGAGAAGAAUCACACAAUAUGGUAAACACACCACACAUAUACAUGACAUGAUUCACACUCCAGUAUGAUGCAUGACAAAGGCUACAUGAAGCUACUCAUGUGAUGUAGGGCGGAACCCUAGGUGGACGAUCUUUCACGUUUGGAGGGAUCCUACGGGGAAUCACAAAGAACACGCGGAAGAAAUCGAGGGAAGAGACACGGGGAGAACAAGAGAAAACGCUAAACCGACAUAGCAUCAAUCACACGAGUGCUAGAUCACUGACAACAUAGAGUAACAUAUGAUCCACAAUCAACAAAGGUAAGGAUACAAAGGAACCGUUCUUCUCCGUACGGAGGCCUUGAUGGUCUUCCCUAGAACGGGGUCUUGAUUCCGCUUGGGGGAUCUUCUCCGAAGAGGUCCGGAUCUCCGAGGAGAAGUAGCCAAGUGGAUGAGCAAGGCUCUCACACAAAAUAUGAGCUAAACCAAUGCUAACCCUAAUACGAAGCUAGGAGACGAGUAUAUAUAGUGCUAAGCCACGAAGGGUAAGUGGGAGAGGAUACAUGGGGUGAAAACCCCUCGCACUGCGCGCAGGCAGGCCGGUAGUACCGGUCAUGGGGCCGGUAGUACCGCAGAGAGCUCAUGAGGGGCGGUAGUUCCGGCCGUGGAAGGCGGUACUACCGCUGGGAGGUCGGGCGCUGGCUUCUGGAGGUGGACGUCGAAGGAUCCAGCGGUUGUACCGGAUGUCGGGGCGGUUGUUCUGGUCUUUGGGCAGAAACCGGUAGAACCGGUGCUGUACCGGCCUUGCACCGCUUGAUCACAGAAUGGCGGCCGGUUGUUGGGCGGUGGCUGGCCGGUUGUUCCGCUCAGGCGGUGGUUGGGCGGUUGUACCGGUCCAUCCAGGCUGGGUGGAAUGCCUCCUUGAUCUUGAUGUCCAUCUUGCACCACUCCUUCUCCUUGGUUGCUUACAUGGUACCUGAGCACAUAAAGUGUCUCUGUUUGAGGUAAUAGCCAUGUCUCAAAUGGGUCAAAGGGAAGUUCAACAAGGAGAGAGUUAACCUCGGAUUGGAUGGCAGGUGCUCGGGCUCUUGUAAUGGGUCCUCUUGGAGCAAGUGUGGUCGAAGUAGAGUCCAUGGGGAUGAUGGAAGGAUGCUCCACAUCAUCUCCCCUCCCUUGGGAAAGAUCCGACCUCGGAUCAAAAUCUUCAUCACCAUGGAAAGGCGAGAGGUCUUUGAUGUUGAAGAUGUCGCUCACGGUAUACUUGUCUCGUGGGAGUUCAAUCUUGUAGGCGUUGUCGUCAUAGUGUGCUAGUACCUUGAAGGGUCCGUCGGCUUGAGGUAGAAGCUUGGACUUGCGUUCGUUGGGGAAGCGGUCCUUGCGAAGAUGUAGCCACACUAGAUCACCAAUGUCGAAUACCAUGGGUUGCUUGUUGAUGUUGAGCUUGGUCGGUAGUCGUUGUACUUGGCGCUCGAUGGUGUGCCUUGUAUCUUCAUGCAUCUUCUUGAUGUAGCUUGCACGAGCACUUGCGUCGAGGUUGGUUCGCUCUUGUAGAGGAAGAGGUAGAAUGUCCAAUGGGGAAAAAGGGUUGAAGCCGUAGACGACCUCGAAAGGGGACUUGCCGGUCGUGGAAUGUCUUGCCCGGUUGUAGGCAUACUCGGCGAUGGGUAGACACGCCUCCCACUCCUUGAUGUUCUUCUUGAUCAACACGCGAAGUAGAGUGGAGAGUGUGCGGUUUGUCACCUCCGUUUGGCCGUCGGUUUGAGGAUGGUAUGCCGAAGAGAACAAUAGCUUGAUUCCGAGCUUGGCGCAUAGGGUCUUCCAAAAGUAACUCAAGAACUUGACGUCACGAUCCGAGACAAUCGUCUUUGGCAAUCCAUGAAGUCGCAAGAUUUCCCUACAAAAGAGAUUGGCAAUAUGUGAAGCAUCGUCUAUCUUGUUGCAAGGAAUGAAAUGUGCCAUCUUAGAAAAUCUGACCACAACAACAAAGACAGAAUCCUUGCCAUUUUGAGUUCUAGGCAAACCAAGUACAAAAUCCAUGCUAAUGUCUUCCCAAGGUUGGUAAGGAAUGGGAAGGGGCAUGUAAAGACCAUGGGAUUGAGCUUUAGACUUAACUUUGCGACAUGUAGACCAACGGUUGGUGAAGCGUGAGACAUCACGGAACAUCUUGGGCCAAAAGUAGUUCUUGGAGAGCGUGGCGAAAGUCUUGUCGCGUCCAAAGUGUCCCAUAAGUCCACCUCCAUGAGCCUCUUGCAAAAGUAGCAAACGAAGAGAAGACUCGGGAAUGCAAAGUUUGUUAGCUCUCAUAAGAUAAUCAUCCUUUAUGUAAUAUCGUUCCCAAGAUGUGUGUGUCAAACACUUAGCAUAAGGAAUAGCAAAAGAAUGAUCAUGCUCAUACAAGUCUUUUAUAUGCUCAAAACCAAUAACAUUCAACUCAAGUUGAGUGACAAGCAUGCAUAUGCGUGAAAGUGCAUCCGCAACAACAUUUUCUUUACCCUUAAUGUACUUGAUCACAUAAGGAAAAUAUUCAAUGAAUUCACUCCAUUUGGCAUGACGCUUGUUCAAUUUAGUUUGACCUUUUAAGUACUUAAGCGUUUCAUGAUCAGUAUGGAUGACAAACUCAUGAGGUCUAAGAUAAUGUUCCCAAACAUGUAGCACACACACUAAAGCAUACAAUUCUUUAUCAUAGAUGGGAUAAUUAAGUUGAGCACCGAAGAGUUUUUCACUAAAAUAAGCAAUGGCUCGUUUUUCUUGCAUCAAAACUCUGCCAAUUCUGGUACCACUUGCAUCACAAUGAACCUCAAAAGUUUUGUCAAAAUUGGGCAAAGCAAGAAUCGGAGCAUGAGUAAGCAAAGACUUGAGCUCAUCAAAAGUGGUGGAUUGCAAAGAUCCCCAAACAGAAGGAGCAUUCUUCUUACUCAAAGCAUGUAAAGGAGUGGCAAUUGUGCUAAAUUUUUUCACAAAGCGGCGGUAAAAUCCUGCAAGACCAAGAAAACUUCUCACUUGUUGCAAAUUGGUUGGUUGGGGCCAAGUUUUAAUCGCUUGAAUCUUAGUUUCAUCAACAUGGAGACCCUUGGAAGAGACAACAAAACCCAAGAAAACCACUUUGUCAAUGCCAAAAGUGCAUUUUUUCAAAUUCGCAUAAAGGUUUUCCUUUCGGAGGGUUUGCAACACAGAUUUAACAUGAUUAAUGUGCUCUUCCAUGGUUUUGCUAAACACAAGGAUAUCAUCAAAGUAAACCAAAAUGAAGACUCCUAUGUAAGGUCUAAGCACAUGAUGCAUAAGACGCACGAAAGUUCCGGGUGCUUCGGACAAACCCAUAGGCAUCACUAACCACUCAUAUAAGUCAAAUUUUGUUUUGAAGGUGGUUUUCCAUUCGUCACCUUCUUGAAUGCGGAUUUGAUAAUAGCCACUCUUAUGGUCAAUUUUGGAGAAAAAGUUGGCUCCGCUAAGUUCAUCGAGAAUAUCAUCUAAUGGAGGAAUGGGGUGCCUAUAACGAACGGUAAUGGCGUUUAUGGGUCUACAAUCGGAACACAAGCGAAAACUGCCAUCGGGUUUAGGCACAAGUAUAACGGGAACGGCACAUGGGCUUAAGCUUUCAGGUACAUGACCGUUGUCGAUGAGUUGUUGUACUUGUUGUUGAAUCUCCUUGGUUUCUUCGGGAUUGACACGGUAUGGGGCUUUGUUUGGAAGUGGCACUCUGGGGAUGAGGUCAAUUCGAUGCUCAAUGCCUCGUAGUGGAGGUAGACCCGGAGGUAGCUCAUCGGGGAAGACAUCUUUGAAUUCCUGCAAAAGAGACUGAAACACUAAAGGUAACUCGUGAGAGGUGUUAGUUGUUGGCUCUCCAUCUUUGCACACAAGGACGAAGUGCAUCACACUCGAUGGGUUCUCACACACUUCUCUUAUCUCACUUUUGGUGGCAAAUAGGAUGAGGUUUUUCUCUCUAGGCGAAGAGGCACUCAUAUUUGGCUUGUGGCUCUCACUCACUUUUGGGUGGGUCACUUUCUCACUCUUCUCUCCAUGGUGGGUGGCUUUCUUGUCGGCUAUCACUUGACUAGGAGACAUAGGUCGUAGCACAUACUCCUUCCCUUUCAUCUUGAAGCUAUAGUGAUUGGUUCGCCCAUUGUGGAUGACACCACGGUCGAAUUGCCAUGGUCGACCAAGAAGGAGGUGGCAAACGGUCAUUGGGACCACAUUACACUCCAAAGUGUCCUCAUAUGCACUGAUUUUGAAGGAGACUUGGACCGUAUGCUCGACUCGUAUAGUGCCGGAGUCACUUAGCCAUUGAACCUUGUAGGGGUGCGGGUGCUUCUUCUUGACCAAUUGAAGUUUUGAACAUAGUUCUUCACUUGCCAAGUUGUGACAACUACCUCCAUCGAUGAUGACCUUGACGAACCUUCCAUUGAUGCCGGCCUUAGUGUGGAAGAUGUGGCAUCGUUGGUCUUCUUCUUGUUGAUGUUGAAGUGUCAAGACUUUGGAGACAACGAGAGCGGGGCUCGGAUCCUCAUCACAAAAGACUUGAUCAUCUUCAUCCUUGUUCACGCGCCAGUGAAUGGCCACUUGCUCAAGGGCUUCCAUCUCCUCUUCACUCAUUGAGUCAUAUGUGCCGUCGUCGUUGAGGAUCAUGGUGCGCUUGUUCGUGCAUUGGUAGGACUUGUGGCCUCGACCGCCGCAAGUGAAACACUUGAAGGAGCUUGUUUUGACGGUCUCAUCGGUUGGAGUAGAUGAUGAGGCACGCGGCUUGAAGUUGCUUGUUGUAGUAGGAAGACGACUUGAACUUGACGAAGUUUUCUUGUAACUUGACUUGUCGUCAUUGCUUGGAGAAGGCUUGGUUGACGUAGAUGUUGGAGGAGUUGUUGAAGCUUGAUUGUUGGAGAAGCCGUAUGUCUUGGAUGAGUACUUGGCGUACUUGAAGUCAUCUUGCACUUGAUGUUCCGCCUUUGUAGCUUGAUGCACGAGCUCAAUGAGGUUGGAGUAGGGUUGGAAGUCGGCGAUCUUCUUGAUGGGAUGAUUGAGUCCAUUCAAGAAUCGUGCCAUUGUUUGCUCAUCAUCCUCCAUGACAUUGGCUCGAAUCAUGGCAAUCUCCAUUUCCUUGUAGUAUUCUUCAACACUCUUUGUUCCUUGCUUGAGGAGUUGUAGCUUCUUGAAGAGAUCACGGUUGUAGUAGGUUGGCACAAAACAUGCUCGCAUGACAUCCUUCAUUUGAGCCCAAGUGGUGAUUGGAGGUUCACCUCUUGCUUGCCGAGGCUCAAGGACUUGUUCCCACCAUAUGAGCACAUAGUCUUGGAACUCAAGUGAUGCCAUAGCGAUCUUCUUCUCUUCCUCAUAGUUGUGCAAACGAAAGAUUUUGUCGACCUUCAAUGCCCAUGAGAGGUAUUCUUCAGGAUCAUUGCUUCCAUUGAACCUGGGCAUUGUGAAUUUGAGCUUGCCAUAGCGUUGCUCUUCAUUGUGUUGUUGGCGAUGGUGAUCAUGAUGCCCUUGACGUGGAGGGUAGUCAUCCUCAUGUUGCUCUUGGCGUGGAGGAAGUCCAUGGUCAACUUGUUCUCGUUGAGCUUGAAGUUGAGGUGCUUGUGGAGCUUAACGUUGCACACGCGGUUGGUAGUUCCUCUCUUGGAUUUCUUCUCGAAGAGCUUCCUCUUGAUUGCGCCUUUCGCGAUUGCGGUUGGUGAUGGCUCGACUUGAUUCUUGAAGGGCAUGUUGCGCCUCAAGAGCUUGCGCUUCUCGUUGUUGUUGUUGAAGACGUUGUGCCUCAGCGUCUUGUUCCUCUGUGGUGUAGACGCGCUCGUUCUUCCUCUUGGCGCCGUAGUCGUUGCCAUUCUUGAGCUUGAGCAAAAACGACUUGGUUUGAUUGAGGACAAGGGAUUUUCUCAUCGACUUGUUCUUGUGAAUGCUUGUCAUGUAGCGGGUUCCGAGAUGCAUGCUGGUCUUGACGCGUGGCUCGUCGAAGAAUGGUCGAUGACGGUGUACUUGUGCCGGAGAAGGUGUCGUCGGAGUGUCGACUUGAGCGGCUCCGUCUUGGGGAUGAAGAAGUGGAAUGAUGCCGGUUCCUCAUCAGGGCGCGGAUCUCAUCCAUUCUUGCAUCAUUUUCUUGCUUGUGAGAGUCGAACUUGUUGUCGAAGUAGUCUCUUGUACGUUGCUCGGAGAGUUGCAAGUCGGUGGCGAGGUUGUCGAUGCGGUCGUUCAUAGCUUGUUGCUCUUGGUGUAACGCCCUUUGAGCACAAAAGAGGUGGCUCUUUGUGACGAAUGAUGACAUGUCGUCGCCGUUCUCGAUGAGAGGUGGAGUGGUAGAAGAACUUGGCCUAUCCAUCAUACCAAGCAAAAUGUAAGUGGUAGAAGGAAAAGAACGUGUACCAAAUGUACCUUGACCGAUGUUGAAGAUGAAUCAAGUUCACUCAAAUGCGGACAAUGAAAUAGCACUUUUGGUACCAAUUCUUGUCGGUUCUCACACCUACACAAGUAAAAGCUUAUGGUGGAGCUUGGUUAGGAUGGUGGCACAAAAUUGAUUGCAAUCGUUAGUUUGACUCAAAGAUGUUGAAAAAGAUUCGCAAAUUCGCAAAUGUAACAAGUAGACCAAGCAAGUAGAGGUACACGGAAACACACACACAAAUAGAUAAGUGGGAUUGUGCAAACCAAAAGUGAGCCAAAAUGUGGAAACCACAAAAUGCUCUUGUUGCACAAUACUAGAGAGACGCUAGCACGAUUGCACAAUAGGCGGAUACGCAAACUUGUGCACAACCUACUAGGCAAAAAUGCAACGAUGUCUAUCCCAAGUAUGCUAUAUGUAUGAUAUUUCGGUGCUAUGAUCCAAGAUGAUCAGAUAUGACAAUCUUAAUGUCGUAUGAUGCUAUGGUUCUCGCUUAUAAGCUCUUUGCUUAUCUUUCCUCUUUACUUAAAAGCUUGGGUGGCUCUUCACUUUUGAUCUCUUUUCUUAUGCAAACUUCACUAACCAAGGUAGCAAUUGUGUAUGCGAUGACAACUUUGUGACACACAAGUUGAUCUCAAGAUAUGCACCACUAUUGUAUGGUAUGUAUAAUAUGGAUUAUGAUCACUAAUGUGCACAAGUCACGUUGCCUGCAAUACUCAAUGGCUAGUCUCAAUGGGUAACCAACGCAAAAGUAAGGCUAUGUGGUUAUCAAUGCAAUUGCGAGAGAGGACAAAGAUGUCGUCGAGGUUACCGUCCUUGACGAUGAUGAGUCCUUGGCGAAGAUGAGCGGUGGUGAUGUUGACGUCGAACCGUACCUAUAUAGCCGAAAUACAAUAGGACACGGGAACCACAACUCAAAUUCUCAAAGACAAAAAGCAACAAUGCUGAAAGCGGAAAGUGUAGGUGGAUGGGGGAUGUCAAUAGCUUCUCAAUGAGCUAAAGAACGCGAAAAUCGGACUCCGAAUGUGGAAGUUACGCUGAAAAUGGUGAAACUCAGAAUGCUGAAAUUGGCCUGGGCGGUAGUACCGCUCGGACGGGCGAUUGUACCGCUUGCGGAACUCAGCGGUGGNNNNNNNNNNNNNNNNNNNNNNNNNNNNNNNNNNNNNNNNNNNNNNNNNNNNNNNNNNNNNNNNNNNNNNNNNNNNNNNNNNNNNNNNNNNNNNNNNNNNNNNNNNNNNNNNNNNNNNNNNNNNNNNNNNNNNNNNNNNNNNNNNNNNNNNNNNNNNNNNNNNNNNNNNNNNNNNNNNNNNNNNNNNNNNNNNNNNNNNNNNNNNNNNNNNNNNNNNNNNNNNNNAUUCGACACAGAACGAAACGGGGCGCGAUUUUGUGGCGGAAAUGGAUGAUUUUGGGGCAAAAUUGGGUGGAUUUCGUGGAUGGAAAGAGGGGAAACUCGGGGGAAUGCUAAAUCCACUUGAAACCAAGAAAAUCCACGGAUCAAAAUCAACAAAACAUCAUCAAACCAACAAAUCACAAAAAAAAAUUUGGGGGCUAUUUUUGGUUUGGAUUUUCGGAUUUAGGACGAAAACAACAAAAUCAAGCUAGAAAACACGGGGUAGGGGCUCCAAAAAUGUGAUCAACGUGGCUCAUGAUACCAAGAUGAUGUAGGGCGGAACCAUAGGUGGACGAUCUUGAUCGUUUGGAGGGAUCCUACGGGGAAUCACGAAGAACACGCGGAAGAACUCAAGGGAAGAGACACGGGGAGAACAAGAGAAAACGGUAAACCGACAUAGCAUCAAUCACAUGAGUGCUAGAUCACCGACAACAUAGAGUAACAUAUGAUCCACAAUCAACAAAGGUAAGGAUACAAAGGAACCAUUCUUCUCCGUACGGUGGCCUUGAUGGUCUUCCCUAGAAAGGGGUCUUGGAUCCGCUUGGGGGAUCUUCUCCGAAGAGGUCCUGAGCUCCGAGGAGAAGUAGCCAAGUGGAUGAGCAAGGCUCUCACACAAAAUAUGAGCUAAACCAAUGCUAACCCUAAUACGAAGCUUGGAGACGAGUAUAUAUAGUGCUAAGCCACGAAGGGGUAAGUGGGAGAGGAUACAUGGGGUGAAAACCCCUCGCACUGCGCGCAGGCAGGCCGGUAGUACCGGUCAUGGGGCCGGUAGUACCACAGAGAGCUCAUGAGGGGCGGUAGUUCCGGCCGUGGAAUGCGGUACUACCGCUAAGAGGUCGGGCACUGGCUUCUGGAGGUGGACGUCGAAGGAUCCAGCGGUUAUACCGGAUGUCAGGGCGGUUGUUCUGGUCUUUGGGCAGAAACCGGUAGAACCGGUGCUGUACCGGCCAUGCACCGCUUGAUCACAGAAUGGCGGCCGGUUGUUGGGCGGUGGCUGGCCGGUUGUUCCUCUCAGGCGGUGGUUGGGAGGUUGUUCUGGUCCUUCCAGGCUGGGUGGAAUGCCUCCUUGAUCUUGAAUUCCAUCUUGCACCACUCCUUCUCCUUGGCUGCUUACAAGGUACCUGAGCACACAAAGUGUCUCUGUUUCAGGUAGUAUCCAUGUCUCAAAUGGGUCAAAGGGAAGUUCAACAAGGAGAGAGUUAACCUCGGAUUGGAUGGCACGUGCUUGGGCUCUUGUCAUGGGUCCUCUUGGAGCAAGUGUGGUCGAAGUAGAGUCCAUGGGGAUGAUGGAAGGAUGCUCCGCAUUAUCAUGGCAAGAGAUGAUGCAAACAAGAGCAACACAUCAAAGCAAGUUUAAAUGAGGCCGAAAACAACAUAUAACAAAUCCGGUAAGUCCCCAUAUGCAAAUUUAGAAAUUGGUUCAGAACUGAAUAAACCUUAUGUUCAAGUUGUUAAACAGCAAGUUAAGAUGCACCAAGAUGAUCUACACGAGAUUCUAGUCAAGUUACAUAUAAAGUUUUUUUAAUUCGGAGCUACGACCUAGAAGAUAUGAGCAAAACAAGUUAAACAUGGCAUUGAUGCAAAAUGCAUACAAACAUCAAGAAAACACCUCAAACCAAGGAUGCAACAUGAUAAUAUGAAAUUACGUGCAAAAUAAAGCAAGUUUCAUAUAGAGCACACUCAAAACGGAGCAACGGUUCAACACAUACUCUAUGCAAGCUAUAACAACAAUCUGUCCAAAACAGCAACUAGGCAUCUAGCAAGCAUCAAAACAAUAUUCUACAGCACCUCAACAUAAGAAAAAAAAGGCACGAGAAUGAAGUACAGGUAAAGCACAACAAAAUAUGAACAUUGAGCUAUCUACAGAAAACAAUAGAACAUGCUCAAAAGGACAUGGCAAGAUUGCAAAUAAUAACAGUUUCAGACUUGGCAGAAAUAACAUCAGGUUGCAAUGUUUAGAGCUAUCAAACAACAUGUUACAGGAACAUAUCAUGGCAAGAAAAGGCAUGGCAUGAACCUACUGAUUUCAGAGAACAGAAGUUCUUUACUGACCAUGAGCCAAAAAGGAACAGAAGAUAUGAUGGCACCCAUGUAAACAUGGCAAGUUAUAUGACAUAUUCAGACAUGGCAGGAACAACAAUAAGUAGACAUGUUGGUGAGCUUGAACCACUCACCACAGAAAAAUACAUGGCACAACAAGGUUACAAACAGUACGAAUACAUGUUUAUGAAGCUAAGAAUGGCAAGAUCAAUUUCAUAGGGUGCAUGGAUCACUAGCAAAACACAUGUCCCAAACUGAACUUAAUGUUAACAGGCUGACAGCAACAUUAUUCAGCAACUUUGGAGCAAGAUUACAACAAUUAACAACAGUCUAUAAAUGCAACCAGGGCCAUGGAUGCAUAGAGCAUGACAUGUAUAACAAAUAAUCCUUAGUGAACAUCUCCAUAUUAUGCAUAGAAUGACUUCUAGCAGCAGGUUUACAGAGCAUCAUGUUGUAACAGAUUCAGCCUAGCAAAACAGCAACAACAAGUACCCUACUUAACAAUCUUGUUGCACUCACUAAAAGACUCACAAAAAUACAUGGAUCGCACCUCUGUAAAGAUGGCAUGAUGUACCAUAAAACACAUGUAUACAUUAACCUCAUAGGAUGCACACACAAAAUGCAACGAAAAAGACAAAUCAUCAAGUUAUAACAGUUUCAGCAGAUUAACAUCAUAUAGCACUAUUGCAAUGAUGAUUAGGGCAUCAAGAUGGACUCAAACAAAGAUGGAUCAAUGGAAUGAAAUGAAGAACAUCUCAUGAUGAACAUUUUGAUAGAUCACACGCACGGAACGGGGCAGUAUGCAUAGAGUUAUGAUGCGAUGAACAGGGCAUGGAAAUGUCACAGAUCUGGCGCGAAUUCCGAGGUUGACCGGGCUCUCGCCGGAGUUGCUGUAGAAGGCAGCCGGAGAUGAGGGAGAGGGCACCGGAGAGGGUCGGGGAGGACGGGCCCCACCGGAUCUGGCCGGAUCCGGCGCGUGGCGGUGGCGGACGGCGGCUGGGGCGGCGACCGGCGNNNNNNNNNNNNNNNNNNNNNNNNNNNNNNNNNNNNNNNNNNNNNNNNNNNNNNNNNNNNNNNNNNNNNNNNNNNNNNNNNNNNNNNNNNNNNNNNNNNNNNNNNNNNNNNNNNNNNNNNNNNNNNNNNNNNNNNNNNNNNNNNNNNNNNNNNNNNNNNNNNNNNNNNNNNNNNNNNNNNNNNNNNNNNNNNNNNNNNNNNNNNNNNNNNNNNNNNNNNNNNNNNNNNNNNNNNNNNNNNNNNNNNNNNNNNNNNNNNNNNNNNNNNNNNNNNNNNNNNNNNNNNNNNNNNNNNNNNNNNNNNNNNNNNNNNNNNNNNNNNNNNNNNNNNNNNNNNNNNNNNNNNNNNNNNNNNNNNNNNNNNNNNNNNNNNNNNNNNNNNNNNNNNNNNNNNNNNNNNNNNNNNNNNNNNNNNNNNNNNNNNNNNNNNNNNNNNNNNNNNNNNNNNNNNNNNNNNNNNNNNNNNNNNNNNNNNNNNNNNNNNNNNNNNNNNNNNNNNNNNNNNNNNNNNNNNNNNNNNNNNNNNNNNNNNNNNNNNNNNNNNNNNNNNNNNNNNNNNNNNNNNNNNNNNNNNNNNNNNNNNNNNNNNNNNNNNNNNNNNNNNNNNNNNNNNNNNNNNNNNNNACGCGCUGGGAUUCGCCUGGCGCAGCGGCACGGACACGUCCGACUCGGGACGGACAUGUCUGGCGGCGGAAGGUGGAAGAAGACUAGGGUUAGGGGGAUUCAUCCGGAGGUGGCCUAUUUAUAGAUUCUGGGAGCUAGGAGAGUCCAAAUGAGGUAUGGUUUUCGCCCACACGAUCGUGAUCGAACGACCGAGAGCAUGGAGGGGGUUAGAAUGGGUUUUGAGCCACUUCGGAGGGGUGUUGGACUGCAACACAAAGAGGGCUUUUAUGGUUACCCGGUUAACCGUUGGAGUACCAAACGGACUCCAAAUGGCACGAAACUUGACAGGCGGUCUACCGGCGAUGUACCAAGGCCGCUUGAAAAAUCACAGUCCAUUCCGAGAAUAUUAAACACCCGGUCACAAAAAGAGACAAAAAGGGGACGCCAGAGGACAUAGGAGUGUCGGAUUGCAAAACGGACAAUGGGGAAAAUGCUCGGAUGCAUGAGACGAACACGUAUGCCAAUGCGAUGCACAUGAUGACAUGAUAUGAAAUGCAGAUGAUGACAUGGAAAGGAUGGCGAAUAACUGGCGGACACCUGGCGCAUUGAAUCCGGGGCGUUACAACACUCCUCCACUAACCAGAGAUCUCGUCCCGAGAUCUUAGGACCGAGACGGAAGGGAAAAGGGAUGAGGAGAAACAAGAACUCAAGAGAAGAAGCAAAGAAUCGAGAGCACUCGAGAAGAAGAGAGGAACGACGAGAAUGAUGAGAAUCGAAAGCUCACGGAAUCAGAUAGAGUAUGAAACCACUCCGGUUAGAACGAGAUAAGAAACGAAUAAGACUGAAAGGGUUUAGGCAGCACUCCUGCUGAACAUGGAAAAAAUAGAACACGAACUUCACAAGAUCGAAUGACACUUGACAAGAUGACCAAUGCAAUGCCUCCAGAAGAAUUGAAAGAAUGGAAUGAAAAGAACUUAGAAGGAAGGAUUGAAUGAGGUUGUUAAGAAAAUCAACAACGAAAGAAUAAACUUAUUGUGGUCUUAUAGGUAACAUCUCCAGAUCAUAAGGUGAUAACCGGCCACAAACGGAAAUUAUUGGAUAGCUGAGAAGAACGAAGAAAUGCAAAACUCCAUUUCAAAAGUAUACGGAGAAUUAAUUGCACUUUGAGACGCGAGAAGAAAAGAUACUUGAGCUCCACCAACAAAAUCUUGAAUCACUCUUGAAGAAUGAAUUAAAUCAUGAAGAACCACCAUGAAGAACUCUGGUAAUAAAAGGAUGAUGACAUCGAAUUUAAGCUUGAAAGAAUAAGAUUAAAGCCUUGCGGUGAUUUAGAUGGAGGUAUCGACAAAAAGGCCGAGGACAAUUUGAACUCCGGAAAAGAAAAGAUGAAAACACUUGGAACUAGAAUUUAUUCAUCAAGAACAAACUCCAAAGGAAGGGAUUACUCACUUGGAUGAAAUAAGAAUAAGAUUUAUUGUAUGCUUACCCUUCAUCAAAUUAAAUUGAUGACAAGCAAUGGGUUUAGCAUACUACUUAUUCUUGUUGAAAAAGGAUUAAGGGGAAAUAUGGCGCAAAACUUGAGAAAGUCUUCAUGAACCACCAGUAGGAUUCGAAAGAACGAAUGGAUUAAAAUGAUAAUCAAGGAAAAAGAAUCUUGAACGAACCACCGUAAAAAUUCGAAAAUGAUUGAUGAAAGAGAAUGAAUCACCAGGAAGAAUUAGCAGAACAAAUAAGAUGGAGGGGAUUUAGAUGCAAAAGAACGGGAAGAACUCGAACUGAUUAAAGAGCACUUGAACGCGGCGCUGGGAUAAUUAGAGAACGAUAACUUGAAUGAUAGCCUCCGGUGAAAAGAAAUGGAAAAAUAACUCCUGACAUACUCCGGAUAGGUAAGAAAAAGGAAUAUCUGACAAAUGGAAUAAUUCGAGAGGAAAACAUGAAGCUAGAACCACAAAACUUGGAGAGAACAGAUAAGAUUUAGAGGAAAAACUCUUCUUCAAUCUUGAAAUGACGACGAGAAACACCACCAAAAUUACUGAGAUACUCCAGAAGAAUGAAAAGCAAAGAGGUUGACCAACAAUGAAAUUAUUUGAAAUUGAUCUUGGAAAAGAUCUGACUGAUGAAAAUCAUACUUACGUCAAACUUAAAAAUGAUUUGAGAAUAGCUCCGGGAAAUUAGAAGAGUCAGGUAAGAUCCUGGGAAAAGACCUGUGGGUUAUGGGCCCACUAAAAGAAAACACCGUUGGAAAAGGAUGUUGAAAAGGUAGAUGAUGCACCGGAACAAUUGAAAUAUUUGAAUGAGGUGACAACCUUGAAUUAAUUCGAACACAGACGAAUCUUCUGAGAUGUCUUGAACACUCUGGAAUGAAUGAAUGGCGAGAGGCAAACAAGCAAAAAGAACACUUGGUCCAAGGAAAAGAAUGUGAUCAACACCGAAAAAAAACUUGAAUUGAGUCCGCCGGAGAAGAAAAAGAGAUGAAGAAUGACGAACAAAACGAGAAUUUACCGGUUGAAACAAUUGUCGAAAGACUAGAGAUGCUCCACACGAAUGAAAUUGAUGGUCGAAAGAGACUCAAACUCCGGGAAGAAGAGGGUGGGAGGGCGGGAAAACAAAGGCAACUUGGAAGGGAGAACCGACGAAUAGUUUGAAGAGAAAACACCGGGUGAAAGAAUGCAAAGGCUUCGCACGAGUAGGAUGGAUACUCGAUUACAGGCUCCGGCUCCAAGAAGAAAAAGGGGUGGGCGGGUGGGAAAAAUAAAACAACUAAGGAUUGAACUUGGCAAAGAUGAAGAGGCUUGAGUCAACUUGACGAGAAAUGCACCAGAUAAAAGAGCUGAGGAACAACGAUCGAAAAACCAACUGCGUGAUCCUAAAGAAAGUUUGAAAGGGAAGAGGAGUAAUUCAAGACACCUAUGUCAAGAUUCCUGACCAGAGUGACGAAGGGGCUGAGGAGUAAAAAGAAUUCCUACUCUCCGAUAUAACUAGACUCCGAAAAGUUUUCUUCUAGACUCGACAACGACCAAACUACAUGAUCAAUCAAGGGGGCUCCUAUGGUCGGUCGAGGCUCUGAUACCAACUUCUCACGCCCAAGAUGCGAUCCUAUCCUAAAGGAACUCGAAGGUCCCACCAAGGAUAGAAGCACAUCUUGAAGACGCUUUUGGAAGGUGGAUAUCAUUACAUCAACAUUACAUAAUAGAUGGGGAUACAUACAUAGGGCAUACAAUGCCACACGAAUACAACAAUACAUCAUACAUAAGAGCAACAUCCGACUAUGGAUGAAACACAAACAGAAGCUCAAACGACAUCCACCCUGCUAGCCCAGGCUGCCGACUUGCAACCUAUCCCCUGAUCGAAGAAGAAGCAGAAGAAGAACUCCAAAGUAAGCAAACAUCACUCUCGCGUCAUGAUCAUCACAUAACCUGCACCUGCAACUGGUGUUGUAGUAAUCUGUGAGACACGAGGACUCAGCAAUCCCAUUACCAUGGGUAUCAAGACUAGCAAAGCUUAAUGGGAAAGGAAGGGGUAAAGUGGUGAGGUUGCAGCAGCGACUAAGCAUAUAUGGUGGAAACAUACGCAGAUAAGAGCGAGAAGAGAGCAAACAGAACGAUCAUGAAGCUAGCAAUGAUCAAGAGGUGAUCCUGAACUCCUACUUACGUCAAACAUAACCCAAAACCGUGUUCACUUCCCGGACUCCGCCGAAAAGAGACCAUCACGGCUACACACGCGGUUGAUGCGUUUUAAAUUGGAUCUGGUGUCAAGUUAUCUACAACCGGAUAUUAAUAAAUUCCCAUCUGCCACAUAACUGUGGGCACGGCUCUCGAAAGUUUAUACCCUGCAGGGGUCUCCCAACUUAGCCCAUGAUAAGCUCUCGCGAUCACCGAAGGAUAUACCUUCUCCUAGGAAGACCUGAUUAGUCUCGGAAUCCCGGUUUAAAAGACAUUUCGACAAUGGUAAAACAAGACCAGCAAGACCGCCCGAAUGUGCCGACAAAUCCCGAUAGGAGCUGCACAUAUCUCGUUCUCAGGGCACACCGGAUAAGCUAAGUGUAAAGGUACCAACAUAACCCAAGUUGCCAAGGGAUUGUCCCGCACAGUGCUCUCGUUUGGACCAACACUCGGAGGAGCACUGGCCCGGGGGGUAAAAUAAAGAUGACCCUCGGGCUCCGAAACCCAAGGGAUAAAGGGCUAGGUAAGGCAAAUGGUAAAACCAAGGUUGGGCCUUGCUGGAGGAGUUUUAUUCAAAGCAAACUGUCAAGGGGGUCCCAUAAAUCACCCAACCGCGUAAGGAACGCAAAAUUCAGGAACAUAACACCGGUAUGACGGAAACUAGGGUGGCAAGAGUGUAACAAAACACCAGGCAUAAGGCCAAGCCUUCCACCCUUUACCAAGUAUAUAGAUGCAUUAAUACUAUAAGAGAUAUUGUGAUAUCCCAACAAAAUCCUGUCCACCAUGGGGAAAUCUUCAACUUCACCUGCAACUAACAACACUAUAAGAGGGGCUGAGCAAAGCGGUAACAUAGCCAAACAACGGUUUGCUAGGAAAGGUGAAAAGGUUAGAGGCUGACCUGGCAGUUUUGGAGGCUUGAAGAGCAAAUGAUAGGUAGCUCAGCAAAGCGAUAGAACAAAGCGACUAGCAUAGCAAUGAUAGUAGUGAGAUCCAGGGUAGCGGUCAUCUUGCCGGAAAUCCCGCUGGGAAGAAGAACGAGUCCAGGAAGAAGAUGAAGCCACGAAGACGAACCAAAUGUAGACGAACAAAUCCUCACGAUCGCAACGAAACGGGAACUAUCGAGAAGAAGCACACAAUAUGGUAAAGACACCACACAUAUACAUGACAUGAUGCACACUCCAGUAUGAUGCAUGACAAAGGCUACAUGAAGCUACUCAUGGCAAGAGAUGAUGCAAACAAGAGCAACACAUCAACGCAAGUUUAAAUGAGGCCGGAAACAACAUAUAACAAAUUCGGUAAGUCCCCAUAUGCAAAUUUAGAAAUUGGUUCAGAACUGAAUAAACCUUAUGUUCAAGUUGUUAAACAUCAAGUUAAGAUGCACCAAGAUGAUCUACACGAGAUUCUAGUCAAGUUGCAUAUAAAGUUCUUUUAAUUCGGAGCUACGGCCUAGAAGAUAUGAGCAAAACAAGUUAAACAUGGCAUUGAUGCAAAAUGCAUACAAACAUAAAGCAAAUACCUCAAACCAAGGAUUCAACAUGAUAAUAUGAAACUACGUGCAAAAUCAAGCAAGUUUAAUAUAGAGCACACUCAAAACGGAGCAACGGUUCAACACAUACUCUAUGCAAGCUAUAACAACAAUCUGUCCAAAACAGCAACAAGGCAUCUAGCAAGCAUCAAAAUAAUAUUCUACAGCACCUCAACAUAAGAACAAAAGUCAUGGGCAUGAAGUACAGGUAAAGCAUAACAAAACAUGAACACUGAGUUAUAUCCAGAAAACAAUAGAACAUGCUCAAAAGGACAUGGCAAGAUUGCAAAUAAUAACAGUUUCAGACUUGGCAGAAAUAACAUCAGGUUGCAAUGUUUAGAGCUAUCAAACAACAUGUUACAGGAACAUAUCAUGGCAAGAAAAGGAAUGACAGGAACCUACUAAUUGCAUAGAACAAAAGUUCUUUACUGACCAUGAGCCAAAAAGGAACAGAAGAUAUGAUGGCACCCAUGUAAACAUGGCAAGUUAUAUGACAGAUUCAGACAUGGCAGGAACAACAAUAAGUAGACAUGUUGGUGAGCUUGAACCACUCACCACAGAACAAUACAUGGCAUGACAAGGUGACCAACAGUAAGAAUACAUGUUUAUGAAGCUAAGCAUGGCAAGAUCAAUUUCAUAGGGUGCAUGGAUCACUAGCAAAACACAUGGCGCAAACUGAACUUAAUGUUAACAGGCUGACAGCAACAUUAUUCAGCAACUUUGGAGCAAGAUUACAAAAAGAUACAACAGUCUAUAAAUGCAACCAGGGGAAUGGAUUGAUAGAGCAUGACAUUUAACAAAUUAUCCUUAGUGAACAUAUCCAGAUUAUGCAUAGAAUGACUUGUAGCAGCAGGUUUAUAGAGCAUCAUGUUGUAACAGAUUCAGCCUAGCAAAACAGCAACAACAAGUACCCUACUUAACAAGCUUGAUGCACUCACUAAAAGACUCACAAAAAUACAUGGAUUGCACCUCUGUAAAGAUGGCAUGAUGUAGCAUAAAACACAUGUAUACAUCAACCUCAUACGAUGCACACACAAAAUGCAACGAAAAAGACAAAUCAUCAAGUUAUAACAGUUUCAGCAGAUUAACAUCAUAUAGCACUCUUGCAAGGAUGAUUAGGGCAUCAAGAUGGACUCAAACAAACAUGGAACAAUGGAAUGAAAUGAAUAGAAUCUCAUGAUGAACAUUUUGAUAUAUCACACGCACAGAACGGGGCAGUAUGCAUAGAGUUAUGAUGCCAUGAACAGGGCAUCAAAAUGUCACAGAUUCAGGGACUUGGGCAAAAUUCAGGGUCAACCUCCGUGGAUCUGGAUCUGGCGUGAAUUCCGAGGUUAACCGGGCUCUCGCCGGAGUUGCGAUAGAAGGCGACCGGAGAUGAGGGAGAGGGCGCUGGAGAGGGUCGGGGAGGACGGGCCCCGCCGGAUCUGGCCGUAUCCGGCGCGUGGCGGCGGCGGACAGCGGCUGGGGCGGCGACCGGAGGGCGCGGUGAGGCGGAGGGGCGCCGACAAGGAGGCGCGGGGGCGGCGCUCGGGUGGUCGGCGCCNNNNNNNNNNNNNNNNNNNNNNNNNNNNNNNNNNNNNNNNNNNNNNNNNNNNNNNNNNNNNNNNNNNNNNNNNNNNNNNNNNNNNNNNNNNNNNNNNNNNNNNNNNNNNNNNNNNNNNNNNNNNNNNNNNNNNNNNNNNNNNNNNNNNNNNNNNNNNNNNNNNNNNNNNNNNNNNNNNNNNNNNNNNNNNNNNNNNNNNNNNNNNNNNNNNNNNNNNNNNNNNNNNNNNNNNNNNNNNNNNNNNNNNNNNNNNNNNNNNNNNNNNNNNNNNNNNNNNNNNNNNNNNNNNNNNNNNNNNNNNNNNNNNNNNNNNNNNNNNNNNNNNNNNNNNNNNNNNNNNNNNNNNNNNNNNNNNNNNNNNNNNNNNNNNNNNNNNNNNNNNNNNNNNAUCAGGCUGGGCGGGCCCCGCCUGGGCCCGGCGGGCCCGCGGUGGCGCGCGGAGGAGACACGGCGGCGGAAGGUGGAAGAAGACUAGGGUUAGGGGGAUUCAUCCGCGAAUUUCGGGGGAGGUGGCCUAUUUAUAGAUUCUGGGAGCUAGGAGAGUCCAAAUGAGGUGCGGUUUUCGCCCACACGAUCGUGAUCGAAUGACCGAGUGCAUGGAGGGGGUUAGGAUGGGUUUUGGGCCACUUUGGAGGGGUGUUGGGCUGCAACACAAAGAGGGCUUUUACGGUUACCCGGUUAACCGUUGGAGUAUCAAACGGACUCCAAAUGGCACAUAACUUGACAGGCGGUCUACCGGCAAUGUACCAAGGCCGCUUGACAAAUCACGCUCCAUUCCGAGAAUGUUCAACACCCGCUCACAAAAAGAGACAAAAGGGGGACGCUGGAGGACAUAGGAGUGUCGGAUUGCAAAACGGACAAUGAGGAAAAUGCUCGGAUGCAUGAGACGAACACGUAUGCCAAUGCGAUGCACAUGAUGACAUGAUAUGAAAUGCAGAUGAUGACAUGGCAAAAUGCAACAAGCAAGCACAUGACAUGGCAAGGAUGGCGAAUAACUGGCGGACACCUGGCACAUCGAAUCCGCGGCGUUACACCUUGCCAGGAAGUUCAGCCACCUUCUCUCCUGCCUGCAUGACACGUCUCUAGACGGGUGUCAUUUGGAGGUGAUUCCCACAGGAAGUGGCUGCCAUGUGGCAAAAAACAUCCACCUAGUCACUUGGGGGCUUAACACUGCACCGAUCAGUGACUUGCGUUGCUGCAAGGUGGAGCGGUGGAGCCUUGGCAGGGUAGUUUGCUUUCAUGGGGCCCAGUAGGCCCAUCGGGAUGGUCUUGAGGAUCGUCUUUGGGUUACCCUUGACCUCGCUAGGCUCGCCUGCCCAGCAAGGGAGGUUUUCCCUUGGUGGUAUCUUGCUUCCUUUGGCUUGACUUGGUCUUCUUGAUUCGCUCUCUGACUCCUCAAAGAGCUGAUCUCUUUUGCUUGGUCUGGUCAUGGAUGUUGCAGUCUUGCUCUUAGGCCUGUGCAUAGUCUGGGCAACAGACCCAGGGUUUGUUGCACCUACAAGAGCCCCCGAGUCUGGCCCAAACGUGCUAUCGGGCGUCGUCGGGGUAGGCCCUAUCUAGUGCAUAGGCAAGAGGGUAGCAGUUGCUUAUCCUUUGAGAUAUUCUUUGCUUCUUCAUUAACCUGAUCCCAGGCCAGUUUCUGGCUCUUCCGCGAGCCUUGUAACGCCAUUUUUGGUGGGAGAGAUAAUGGGCAAUGAUUUGUUGGGUACCCACGUCCCACGUUCACAAGGCGGGAACUAUGACCCCAUUAUCUUUCCCAGUCCAAGCACCUCCGCCACGUGUAUUACAUGCAUUAUGCAAAGUUGGUAGCAGAUGCGGAGGGCGCAGGAACGAGCACCGCGGAAGAAAGCCAGGCAUCACAGAUUGGUGCAGGGGGUCGGCCUUGAUUCUUCGAGUCGUUAAUGGCGAGGGGGAGCCUGACUGGUCGAACGGCGCAGCCACCUUCGUGAAAAAAAAUCUAGCCCCCUGCUCUGCUCGCCUAUAAAAGGGAACGUGGGGUGAGGCGUUUUCCACACACCCUUCUCCUUCUAUUCCUACAACAGUCUUCGCACACCAUGGCAAGAGGUCGGGAGCACGGCGCUGCUCCAGCGGCAGCGACGCGGACCUCUGCUCGACAGCAUGUCCCUCCUCCCUCUAAAGACGCGGGAGCGGAGCCCGCCGCGAGGGGAGGUGGGAGGGGGCGAGGCCGUGGUCGUCGUGGUGCUCGGGGCGGAGGAGGACGGGGUGGCACUCUGAUUGCGCCCCCUCCGGCCACCCCUCCCCUGAUGGAAGGCCACGUUGGAGACCAACCUCUAGAAUUCAUCAUCAGAUUGUACAAGCUCCGCGCGGCGCGGCCGCCUCCAUCUCCCUACUCCAUUCGCUAGGGUGAUGGAGCUCGGAUAGACGCGCACGUUUAAGUUGCACAUGAGGAGUUGCGGGAAUGGUGGCAUGCGGGUGCAUGUGGAUUUUCCUAACCCUCAUGUCAUGUUCUUCCGAUGCGGCUGCAAGACCUUUGCUCGCGCCCACAGCUUGUCGAAGGGGUACAUCCUCCAUUUUAAAUUAAUGGAGGCCAAUUUGAUAUCCAUCAAGGACAUUGGGUGCUUGGGUGCUCACUUAGGGUGCUGCGUGGAGAGCUAGACCAACGACGAAGGCUCGAGGAGGACAGUGACGGCGAUGACGACAGCGUCGACAGAGAGGAUGACAACUCCGACUCCGGCUAAACAAUAUCCGCACGGUCACCUUCAGGCGACGACACCAUCAUCUGCACCUGCACCACUUUGCCGGCAAGGCGAUUUGCUGGGGAGUUGGAUGUAGGGGUGGGUGUGGUGCCCCUGGCUCAUCCAGCAGCCUUCCAGCUCGACCCUAGCUGGCUUCCUCAUGGGUUGUAGCUUUGUUUGGCCUGCCGCAUCCUGCUGCCCCUGGUGGUGGCAGCCCGGGGGUCGUCCCCACCGAUCUCUUCACCACCACCUUCGUCCGCGCCCUCCAGCCCCCGCCAGGAUCGUCGUUUAAGUGCCUGGCAGGAUCAGGCUGGGCUUCUACCCAACCACUCCUUUUCCCCUCUUCGCCUCCCAUCACAGUGCCUAGGAGGAGAGGGACAAGAAAGGGCAUCACGGGGCACUUAUCUUUUUUCAAUCCAAAAUAUGUAGGCACUUGCCACACUUCAGUUCAAAUUACGUAAUCUCUUUUAUCAAUGUUUGUGUUAUGUAAGAUUUGUACUCAUUGAUCAGUGUCGGUGUUCUGGGAACUAGGGUACCCAGACUUGCCUGCCUACGGCCCAUGGCACGGUUCCAACAACGGCCUGGUACGGCCCAUCCACAGCACCAACAAGACGAGACCCUCGCGAGGGGCCAAGCCUCGCGACGCGAGUGACAUCAAGACCUACGGAGGGAGCGGCCUUCCCAGGCUGCAUCCUGAGGAGCAGAGAUUUCUAUGCGGGUGCUCAACCUCAUGAUCUUGCGAUGACGCAAGCCAUGACAACCAAGGUAAGGUGGGCGCCAGCGGGCGCAGAGCAGCAGGUUUCCUCUUUGGUGCUAAGGAGGCAAGCACAGGCGUAGGUUCUCGAGGAAUCAGCCAAAGGUUCCCAUUCCCGUGCAACAAGACCAAGACUGCCAGGACAGCAGGACGGAUGUCAUCGGCGAGCCCACCAUGGUGUCACGCCGAGGAGCUUUGUAGGAGAAGACCACCUUUUGUCAGGAUAAGAUGUACUACUUGUCCCUGCUCAAAUUGGACACUAUGGGAUCCCUUCCCGCCUACGUUUUAGGGGGAAGAGGACCAAGGGUACUGUAAAUAUAGGCUAGCCACCACCAUAUCAAGGGACGGAACGGUCAGAUCCCUUCAGCUCACAACCACAGUAGAACAAACCUCCUGAGGUUGUUCUUCCCUUGUACUAGUUUAUCCUCAGCCCAUCGGGAGGCUAAUUCACCACAAAGUAGGAGCCGGGUUUUACACCGCAAGGUGGCCCGAACUUGGGUAAGCUGCCGUGUCUAUCUUCUUGUUUUCUUGUCGAGCUAGGCCAUGGGGACGAUGAAGUAAUUGGCUGGAGAGGUUGUGUUCUUCGCACACGCCCCAGAGUUCGAACCUUCUCUUGGGUCUGCGGAGCCCGGAAUCCGACAUUUGGCGCGCCAGGUAGGGGCGUCUUGAAGCUCUUCUUCAAUUCCCGCCUUGCAUCCGUUUCCUCGCGCCCAUGACGAAGGUUCCCUAGGCUUGUGCUGAGCAUUGGGCAGCUCGUACCGCCUAGGCGGCGCCCCUUAGCCAUGGAGUUCAUCAUCACCCCAUGCUCACCGCGGCCGGUGCGGAUACCGGCAUGAAUCACCAUCGGCUAUGUGGGCCUCUCUCGCCCCCUCCCGUCCGGCGUCGCAACUGAGCCACCGCGCGGUCAUCUAGCUAUGCAGUGGCGUCAUCCCUACAUGCUCGCCGGGAGCAGGCAAACAUGCGAGCCGCACUCCUCGUGGCGUGCGAAUUGUUGCGGUUUAGGUUAGCGGAGGGCAGCCACGAUGCCUUGCUCUCCCGUGUCGCCAAGCAGCUCGACGCUGCUUGUGAGGGCAUGGCGCCUUUCCGCAUCGUGCCGACUUAGUGGAUACCCCGAGGGACCCACGCCCGCCACUACUGUGUCUGCUCGUCCCCUCGGGAGGAUCCUGGAAGACCCUGCGGAGGUAACCCAGCACGCGGCGCCGCCCACCUGACCCAAGAGGCGCGCCCCUAGGGAGUGGCCAGGGUAGGAGGCCUCCACCACGGCGAUGGCGAAGAGCCGCUCCCAGGUUGGUGAGGCAGGACAUCGGAGAUGAUGGACAACAAAGCUGAAGGGCUAGGGGUUGGCCCCAGGGUGAUGGUGCCUGGUGCCUCUGCGCCACCCAUUGGCGGGCUCGUUGUACGAGCAAGGGAGGAGCCCGUACUUGUUCCCCUCACUGGACCAGACGUCAUGAUCGCCAAGGCCACAAAGAGCAGGAGCCCCUUAUUGGCCGAUUCAACGUCCUGCCAGCGUCUUCGAGAGCUGCGGCCACCGGUUACAACCGAUAUCUUUGGAACAUGUCGCGAUAACCUUAGAUCACAGGUAACCUGAACGCCACCGCCGUGCACCUCCGUAUGCUGGCCCCGCCUCAGGUAGGCGGGGCGUACUAGGAGAUGGUGCGGGGGGAGCCCAGCACUAGAGCUUCCCCCGCUAUACGUGCCGCAGGGCACCAUCGCAACGGUGGCGCGUGCCAUCCAGAAGUGGGCCCUCCACCGGGGAGGGCGUCAGCGAGCCCUUUCCCCGGUCGAGGGCCUAUGCCCGCCGACUACCGCCCGCGUAGCCCCUUACCCCUUGGUCCUAUCCUGGUUUCCGGAUGCCCCAACGGUGGUCGGGGCAUGCGCGGGGUGGGGUCCUCGCCCGGGAGCAGGGACUGCCCCUCAAAUUGCCGCCCAUGACACUCUCACGUAAUAAUGAGUGGGGUUGUACACGCGGCGGAGACUCCUGAGCACCGCACUCGGGCCUCACGGGGGCUCCCACCCACGUCCAAGUGGAACAACUAUGCUCCGCACUGGCAGUCGACACUGUCCCACAAUGACUAUGCCCACGUCUAGUGGAAGCACCGAGCUCUGCGCUGGUUAGAAGAAUAGUGUAGACGCCGGACGCGGCCAUCUUUUUUUGCUCUCUUUUGUAAUCUGAUUUGCUGCCUUUGGAAUGAAAUUCGGAGUUUUGUGCACUUAUUUAAAAGAAAAAGAGGGGGGAUUUUUGAUUCGUAGUGUUUCCUUAUUCUCCGAUUUGUGUUUGGGAGGCACGGCUUCUGCUUGCUGCUCUCCUCCAAGCGCCCCGCGAGCGGGGGCUGGGUGUGGCGUGCACAUCUGGGCUAGCCUGAGCAGCCUUAGGCCCCCCUCGUGGCCAAGGACAUAACCGCCGCAGGUCCACCUAUGCGCACACCUUGCCAAAGCUUGGUGUUUGGCUCCUCGCGCGGCGCUCUUAGGAGAUCUAGCAAGCAUGCACCAUGCCCGGCAUCCGGCUUUGGGCCUUAGCGGCACUUAGCUCCGGGCGCCCCCCACACACUCCCUCGAAGCUCGCCGCCAUGCGAAGGCGCACCAGGAGGCCUUAAUCUCUUCAGGACCCAUCCUGAGAUUUCGCGGAUUGGGGGUCCCAGAGGACUUUUCUCAGGAGAAGCACGUCUCUGCGAUACAAGAACCCGCCCAAGGCCGCAAACACGAAGAUAAGCCAUGCCAACUACUCUAGUCAGUAGCCCUCCGGCCCAUGACAGCACACCUUCGAUAAUCUAGAGGGCAUAUCAUUGUUUCAUACAUUACGAGGGAACCCCCUCCAAAAAAUGCUUUCACGCCCCACAGGGCUAUACCUGAAUUUUGUCAGGAAAACAGGAAAACACAUGCCUAGGGGGAUGCGCUGUCGCCGGUGUCGCUGUCAUCCUCAUCGCCAUCAGCUACGCCCUCUUCAGCCGUGAGCGCAGCCAUGUCACCGGGAAGGGUGAAUUCCUUGAUCAGGUCAUCCACAUGGUCAUCCACCCAGCUCGCCAGGUCGCCCUGACUUACUCUGGGCACGGGGGCUAUCACGGCGUAGAAGUCGAAGUCGGAAUCAAGUCUAAGAAGGUAGCUGAAGACACGCGAGAACGUGCGCCCAAGAAGGUCUCGACUCUUCUCUUCGACGAGCUGGCACGCCCUCGCAGCUCUGCCUUUGAGGCAGGUCACAACUUGGGUGAAGAAGCGCAGGUAGCCGGCAUCAUCAACUUCGUACGAGAAGGCGAUGCUCUCAUUAUAAAUGGUGUCUAGGGCUUGGUUGGCCCUGACCCUAAGGUCCUCAAGCAUCGAGAAGCGCUCACGCUGCAAUGUCCGGUGGCGGCCCGCCUCGUUCGAGGCUCUCUCCACGAGGGACGUGACACCCGCGACUUCCUGAUGAAGUUAAGACAGCUCGGCCUCAGCGGAGGCUCGGACCUCUUCAUCGGCCUUCUCAUGCCGCUCUGCCAUGGCUAGCUUCACCUUGAGGGCGUCGGCCUAGCCCUGUAGCUUGACUUUCCGCUGCUUGAAGCGAGUCUCCUGGAGCCCUAACUUUUGGCGGUAUUCCUCGACAAGGGUCUUGCGGAUCCACGCCACCUUCUGGUCGACCUCUCGUUGGAUCCUCGCCUCCCGAGAGGCGAGGGCGUCCUCAGCUGCGGCUACUAGGUGCUCCAUCACCUCCAGCCGCUCGCGCUCUAGGCUGUGUUCCAAUGCCUCGAGCGCCAGCGCUUCCUCGCGCGCCCAGACUCCCACCUCGUCUGAGGGGGUCCCUCCUGGUGGCGCUGCAAGGGAAACUCUGCGCGCCUGGAGUUGCCGCUCAAGGGCGGCGUUCGAAGCUCAAAGCUCCCUCUCGUGCUCCUCGGCCGCCUCACGACGAAGAUCAAGGGCCCGGGCCUCCUCCAAGGUGUGGGCACAUGCCUCCCAAGAAGCAGCAAGGGACUCCUCGGCCUUCACGGGAAUGCGCUCGUGCUGCAAGCACCCGAGAUCAAUGGCGAAUUUCAGAUGGUGCCAUUCACGCGCCAGGCGAAGGUCCACCGCCUCGAGGCGAAUGUCGACAUCGGCCAGCUCUGCCCCGAGGCGGCCCAGCGUGCUCGUCUCUUCUUGGAUAAGGUUGUGGCGGACGGCACUGCACCCACAUGCGGGCUCCAAUGCUCGUUCGGGCCCUUCCUCCGCGCCCUAGUUUGCAAGAGGGUCGCGAGGCGACUCGCCCGUCUCCAGCAGGGUGCUGGUGGCCCGGGGGCCUUCAAACGCUCCCCGCGGUACGGGCGAGGCAUGGCGUGGUCCAGUCCCACCGCUUGAAGAUGGAUCCAUCGCGCAGACCGCCCAACCACCGGCAAGAACCAGCGGAGGAGCCCUGGGCACGGCCUCGAUGCCCCAGAGUUCGCUUUGGAAGAAGAAUGUUGGGAGCGCAAGCCCGUGGCCCUCCGGCAGCAGCCUCGACUCAUGAGCCGGCACCAUCUCGUGUGUCGUUGCCCGGCUUGGGAGCCCGGGGAUCGCGAGCAAACCAGAGGCCUUCGGAGAUUGUGCUCCGGGUGGGCUCAUGAUGACUGUUGGCGUUCUGGGAACGGGGGUCCCCAGACUUGCCUUCCUGCGGCCUGCGGCGUGGCUCAACUGGGGGCCCAAUGCAGCCCAGCUUCAUCAGCUCAAGCUCAAGACCCUCACGAGGGGCCAAGCCUUGCGGGGUGGACAACAGGAAGCUUCCUCAGGAGCAGCCUCCCCAGGCAGGCUCGCGAGGAGGCGGAGAGAUCCAGGGAAGGUACCUCCCAAGGAGCCCGUGACGUAAGCCAUGACGAAUGAAGACCAGGCGGGCGCCAGCCUGCGCAGUGUCCUUGUUUCCCCUUCGGUGCAAAGGGGGAAAGCACAGACCAAGGCAUCAGGCAAAGGUUACCGUUUCGCUGCAACAAGACCAAGACCAGUAGAACAGCGGGAUGGAGGUCAUUGUGGAGCCCAGGGCGGCGUCAUCGUCAGAGUGUUUGGCAGCCGAAGACCAACUUUAGUCAGGAUAAGUGUACCAGAUGUUCCCCUUCAAAAUGGCCAAUUGUUGGCGCCCUUCCCGCUCAUUAUUUGGGAAGAGGCCCAGGGCCUCCCUCUAUAAAUAGGGCUAGCCACCACAGAGUAGCGGCAUCGAGCAUCUAUCUCAAGAAGACGCAUAGACUAGAGAGAGGCGACUGAACUCACCCAAGCAGUUCAUCGCACGAGCUCAAGAACAGCCCCUCGCGAGGCUGUUCUCCCUUUGUACUAUUCAUCAUCAGCCCCUAAGGCAAUCCACCACACCACACACUGGAGUAGGGUAUUACACCACCAUGGUUGCCUAAACCAGUAUAAAUCUUGUGUCCCUUGUGUGUUCUUCUUUCUUGCUUAGAUCCUUGUGAGACUUUGAGACGUGAGCUGGUAGGGGAAAGAUCUUCGUGCGCACCCUAGUGUUCAAACCUCAAGGGUCUGCCGGAACCCGAAAUCCGACAUUUGGCAUGCCAGGUUGGGGUGCACCAGAAUCUUUCUUCCGCUAGUCGCGUCUAAUCUUCCGCCGUAUCCACGGAUGACGCUCGCCGAGCUCGCGCCAAGCGUCAGGUUGCUCUCGCCACCCGCGUCGCCCAGACGGCACCCAUCGGCGGUCGCCCCCGUCGUUCCCCGUCACCUGCCGCCAACGUCGCUACCGGCCCGGCGGAGAACAAGCAGCACGCUUCGUCCCUGCAUCCUUUGGUGCGGUGCGAUGGCCGCACCGCCACCCCGUCAACGGGGACGAAAAGGUCAUGGCGAAUUGGUUUCCCAUGGCACUCAAGGACGGUGCCCGCACCUGGCUCUUGAACCUCGCUCCUGGCACGAUCUCCUCCUGGGACGAGAUGCGCACCCACUUCAUCGCCAACUUCCAAGGCAAUCGCGACCGGCCCCCGACCAUGAGUGACCUGCGCCACAUCAAACAACAGCCAGGAGAGACCCUGCAGAAGUACAUCCAGCGCUUCAACAACGCCCGCCUCAAGAUCCCCAGGGUGACUGAGGAGGCCAUCAUCUCAGCCUUCUCCGAUUGCGUGCAUGACAUCAAGAUGAAAGAGGAGCUAUCAAUCCAUGAAGACUUGUGCAUAUCCCUAGAGCUAUUCAACUUGGCGACUAAGUGCACCAGGGCUGAGGAAGGGCACCUCUCCCUCCUCAAGCUCCCGGCUGCCGACCCAGAAGAGAAGAAGCCCAAGGUCAAGGACGUGAAGCGCAAGGGGGCUGCUGUGCUCGCAGCUGAGCCAGACACCAAGAGAGGCAGGGAUCAGCCUGAGUCAUCCAAGGGCAGCUGGUACUGCGUGUACCACGACCUCCACACCCACAACACCAAUGAAUGUCAAGAGCUCAGGGCCAUGCAAGAUGGGCGUAUCGGCCGAUGUCCCGACUGCAACGACCGGGGCUAUGGCUGAGGAGGUGGAAGAGGUGGAGGACGAUGGGAAGACGGUGGCCCUCGCCAAGGGUGGCAUGACCGACCUCGUGAGGACCGCUGGCAGGACCAGCCUCGCGAGGAAGGUUGGAGGGAUCAGCCUCGUGAGGACCGCCCUCAAGGCAACGCAGGCCUCCCUCCUUUGCCACCGCCGCCAAGAAGGAAUGAAGACCAUCACCAGGACAAGGGGGCUGGGGGCUUCCAGGAGCCGCGCGCAAUUGCGUGCAUCCUGGGCGGCGCUCAGGCCCCAGCCUCUCAGCGCAUCUUCAAGCAGUUUGCUCGCGAGGUGAAUGCCGUCCUCCCCAAACUUGAUGCCAUGCGCCCUCUCAGGUGGUCUGCAUGCGCUAUCAUGUUCAGCUCAGCGGAUCAGCUCAAGUGUGCAGCAACGGCCGGAGUCCUCCCGAUGCUUUGUUCCCUAGUCAUCAGCAAUGUGCAAGUCACCAGGACCCUCGUCAACGGCGGAGCUGGACUCAAUGUCCUGUCCGUCGAGACGUUCAACAAUUUCCAAGUGCCAUAUGAUCAGCUUCAGCCGACCAAGCCUUUCUCAGGAGUCACUGACGGUUCCACCGUUCCAAUAGGGCAAGUUCGCCUUCCUAUCACCUUUGGGCAGCGCAACAACUACCGCACCGAGCUCAUUGACUUCGACGUCGCACACAUUCGCCUACCAUACAAUGCCAUCCUCGGGUACCCAGCUCUGGCCAAGUUCAUGGCAGUGACUCACCAUGGCCACAAUGUCCUCAAGAUGCUAGGAAGCGGUGGAAUCAUCACAGUGCCUUGCGAUGAGAGGGAUGGAAUGUGUUCUCUUGAGCGUGCCUUCCAAGCCGCGGCAAUCGAAGACCCAGAUCACAGGAGCGGGAGGCUCCCAAAGGCGGACCCCAAGAAGAAGAAGGCUUCACCUGGCCCAAACACUCACGAGGCAGGCGCCUCCGGAGGCGAUGCGUCAGGAUUCGCGCCCGUUCAAGGGGCGCCCCCUUUGUCGCAUAGGAAGGCACGCCCGGUGCCCUCCUCGGGCAGGGCUCGGGGGCUCUGUCUUGGAGAGCCACUGACUUUGCCAAGGUCACGAGGGAGGCACUCGGGCACCACGUGGAGGCGUGCUUCAAGGCACGUUUCCCUCAAGAAGGCAUGAGGCAAGGAGGGCCAAACCCUCAGGAGUUCAUCGCGAGAACAUUCAGGAGCUACAGGAGUCAAGAGUAAUGCGCGGCAGCCGCCGCCUACCCGCCGUAGCCCCACAUCCCGGCAAGGAUGGUGGUUGCACGUCUGCAUCGACAUACCGGGGCUCAACCGAGCCGCGUCUCAGAAGCGCCUCUGGCCUUCACGCGUGGGGUGUUGCGAGGGUCCACCUCACAGCUACGUUCGCAUGCCUUUCGGCCUGCCGAACGCGGCUGCUGCCCACCAGCGCCUGAUGAGGAGCAUCCUGGAAGCUCAGAUGGCCAGGCACCGCGCGUUCCUGGAGGAGAUGGAGAAGGACCUUGAGGAGCCGCCUGGACCCCUAGAGCCUCCCAAGGCACAGGGCUCCGAAGGCUCGUGAGGGUCGGCUUCCUCACCGCGCGUCGUCCGCUACUUCAGCAGCACUUCAUCCCCAAUGGUAUUAGGUGACAUCUUUCCAAGUUCCAUUUUCAGCUGGGAGUGCCCGCGGGGCUGCAUCAUUCCAAGGUCGCGUGGGUCCGUCCCUGCGGCAUGUAUCCAUUUUGCUUAUGCUCUUUGUCUACCUUGUUGGGGGCGCCCCUCGGCCUACAUUCUCCCCAAGGUGCUCGGGCCUGAGCCAGCGGCGUUUGCCUUUUUCUGCAUCUAUCUAAAUAGAUUUGCUCCUCCACGCUUAAACCAAUUCCCAUGGAUAUCAUCCGCUGCUUAUCACGGACCUCUCCGCUCUCAUGCAAAGCGCUUGCACGUUAAAAGGGGGCGCCUGAGCAUCGCGACUCAUGGGCUCUUACUGGCUCUCCAGCCCCCACCCCCUGGCCUUGACCCACGACAUCGUGACCUGUCAUACCAGCAAUGGCUGAGCUCGCUCGAGGGCCGGGAUCUAAGGACGUAGAGCAUUUACAUUCUAACCACCCUGCAGGAACACACCAUUGAUAAAGGCCCAAAGCCAGGUGCAACCUGCCUCGAGGUAGGGCCUCGUGAGUCCCACGCCGGCUCACGGGUGCCCAGAUACACCUCUCCUAGCCCUACCAUGUCGACCACGAGUCAGGGCGGGGCUGUACAUGCCCCAGGGGCUCCUCCCAGAGGGGAGCCCCCUCCCACAUACCAGUGGAAGCACCAUGCUCCGCGCUGGCUGACGACACUCCCGAGGAGCGACUAUGCCCGUACACAUGCGGAAGUGCUAUGCUCUGUGGUGGUGAUAAACAACUGACGGCGGCCCACGGCCGUACUAACCUCAGGGAGCCCAGAGCUUAGUGUCUGGCACCAUCGCAACGACUCCCCUCGGGAGUGCCGCGCGAGGGGGCUGGACAUGGGGGCUGCGCCCGGGCCACGCCCGAACGCACGCCACCCAGCCAGGUCCCUCGGACCUGGUCGUCGCCCGCCCCUCCCCGAGCGGAGCCAAGGUACGAAAGCUUGUUUGCACGUCAAGGGGGACUCUUGAGCAUCGCGACUCAGGAGCCUAAUUGGUCACGUAUCCCCCCACUCCUUAGUCCCUUCCUGGUUUCCGGUCGGGGCUAACGGCGGCUGAGGUAUGUGCGGGGACGGGCCCUGCCGACGUAGAACGGCAAAUCCACUCCUAUGCCUCCCUUACCUACUUGCUGUUUGCGCGUCAAGGGGGACUCUUGAGCAUCGCGACUCAGGAGCCUAACUUGCCACGUAGCCCCUCACUCCUUAGUCCCAUCCUGGUUUCCGGUUGGGGCUAACGGCAGCUGAGGUAUGUGCAGGGCCGGGCCCUGCCAACGUAGAACACAGGCAAAUGGGAAGGAAAAUGCAAAUUCUAAGGAAUUCAAAAGCAAAUAUUACAAGCCAUAGAGUGUUUCACAACACCAAACACAAGUUUAAACGCCUCCACGAGGCAUGGUGCAUGUUGCAGGAAUUAAAAUAGGACAGAAGCCGCAAAGGGAUCACUUUCCAGUGGCGCUGCCGCCUGUGGUGGAGUCACGCUGGGUGGCUCCGCCUCCUGAAGCCACGGAACUAGCGGCGUCGCGUCUAGGCAAGAUGCCGAAGGCACGGAACCUCCCCAGCAAAGCCUCAGCUCGGCCCUUCACAGCCUCAGCAGCAGCUGCGGCAAGGUCACCGCUCACAGGGUCCAGCAGGCUGUCGAGGUCGACGUAGGGGUAGCGAAGGUAGACGUGACUGAGGACGCACGUCAGCGCUGCAGAGGACAGGGCACGCGCCUCGGCCUCAGCCGUAGGGCGAAGGCCAUCCGCGACAUCUUCAAGCGCACGGACCAGGGAGGGAAGCAGCUCGGCAGGGCCGUCCUCUUCGCCAGCCAACGGGUCCUCUAAGCAGCCUUCAUAGAGCGUCUUCAGCGCAGCGCGAGCCUUCUCCUCUAGCUUGGCAAAGACCACUCAAUCAUCGGCCAGGACCUUUGCCUGGCGGUCUAGCUCGAUCCUCUCCACCUUCAGCGCCUGCUCUAGCGUCUCCAACCGUCCAUGGCGGUCAACAAGCUCGGCGUCCCAGUCUUUGACGGCAGCCUCCCGAGCCUUCAUCUCGUCCUCCUUCUCCUUGCGGAUGCGGACCUCCUUCGUGAGCUCGUCACGCAGGCCUUGCAGCUCAACCUCCAGCGGCUUGCAGCGGCCCUGGGCAUUCGCAGCGUCACCCUGGGAAGCAUCGCGAGUGGCCUUGGCCUGGCGGGCGGCUUGCUUCUCCUCGUCGGAGGCAGACGCAGCCUGGCUCAGCGCCGCUCGGACAGAGGCGGCAGAGCGGGCCCAGCCAAAAGCUAGCUCUAGGCGCCCGACCACCAGGCAGGGGUCCGCGCUCUGGAGAUCCUCCCGCAGCCGGCUUAGUUCAUUGGCGGCCUGGUCCAAGACGGUGGAGGGAUCAGAAGAGACGGGAGCCGGUAGAGCAGGCGGAGAGGACGGCAGUGUGAUCACAGCUUGGGAGGAAGGAGCCUCCCGGGUCUUGGACAUCUGAGCAGCAGCAUCAAGCCCAGGCACCUCCAGGGUCAGCGGGGCCACGGGGGCUGACUCCUCGCCAGAGUGUCCCUGCUGGGCUCACAACCAGGCAGGGGAGGCACAAGCCUCGACGCCUCCUUUCCCCGCUUAUGAAGGCACUUCCUCGGCAGGCGAACUCGCCUCAAGCGGGGUCGCAGAAGCCCCCUUCAACCUCUUCGCCGCAAGUGCUGGCCUGAUCAAAAGAGUGCAGACGUCAAGUCUCGGCGGCAGAAGCAAAGCAAAGCACGGAUCAAGCACUUACUGGUCAUCGUUCACAGGCUCAAGCAGCCUCCAGCUAAACUUGAAGCCCGAGAGCCUGCACCUGGGGUUAGCCUUGGGAGGCACGGAAGCAGAGGGUGCGUCGGGAAGGCUGGAGCUAGCCUCAGACCGCCAUGGAGCCAGAGCGGAUGCUGGGAGCACCAGCCCUGACCUGUCCUUCCUCGGGACCAGGGAAGAAUCCUCCCCUCCUUGCCUAGCGCUGGCCUCGUUGUUGUCCGACAUGGAGGCAGGGCGCGGGACUUGCACCAGGGAAAGGACUCCUCUGACUCCUCGCCAGUCGCCUCGGAGUCAGACUCUUCUUCCUCCUCACUCCCGCUGGAGUCGCUGGAGAACACAUUCACCGUCGGCAACACCGCCAGAUCCCCGGGAGCCACUGCGGGCACCAGCCCCUCACCGUUGAAGGUGGGCAUGGCGUUCACCACCAGCUCCCUAUCGCCGCGAAGAAACAGGGGGACAGGAGCACCCUCUAGCCUCGCCACGUCUCCCCCGACCAAGGAAUGGAGGGACGCGACCAGAUCUUCGUCAGCCAGGGCUGCAGAGCUGAAGCGAAGGGCAGCGUUCGCUUCCCCAAGCCUCCACAAUGGGAGCGAGUGCUCCCGGAGUGGAGCCACCUGGUGCUCCAGGAACUCCCUCAGGAGCGUGGCCCCGGUCAGGUUCGCCGCCCCCAGGUUGCUUGGCCUCAGGUCCGCGUUCAUCCUCUUCAGCACCGCCCUCGCGCGGGGGUCGACAAGCUCCACGCGAGACCACGCAUCAACAGCCUUGGGCUACCCCGUGGGCAGCACCAGUCGGGGGUGGAGGCGCCUGACAUCCACCAUGACCCACUUGCUCGGGAAGCCUUCGAUCCUCUUCCCGGGCUUCGAGAUUGCGUUGGAGCCGGAGUAUGCGAUAAAACUCGCGCAUGCGACGAUGGGGCCACGAGAAACCUGGAGGUAAAAGUAAUGGCGCAGCAAGUCCACUGAGGGCUUUAACCCAACAUGAGCCUCACAAUAGUAGGCAAAAAUCGCCAGGAGAAGAACAGAGUUGGGGUGGAGGUGCAGAGGUUGCAAGUUGUAUAGGCAAAGAACAGCAAGGAAGAACUCAGAAAAGGGGGCACCAGACCGGCGAUGAUGGCGCUCACAAAGAGCGGGUAGAAGGUGCUCCCCUUGCCUUCAGGCUGGUCGGAGCCGGCCUUCAACACAGUCGCUCCCACGUUGCCCUGCACCACCGUCCUUAGGCGCAUGAGGGCGAGAUUCCUCUCCAACACAUUCGGGGGAUCCAGAUCUGGCGAGUACCAGGCCUCGGUCGGGGUCUCGCGAGGCACCAUGGCUUGCCGGAUGGGAAGGAUUGAGGAAGAUCUGGAGGAUUUCAGACGCAGGAAGGAGAAGAGAGAGAAAGGGGAUCUAGAGCAAGGCAAGCAAGAACAAAGCAGGUAAGUCUAGCCUGGGCACCUCUUUUGUUAGAUGGGCAGUUGUCGAGGCGUUGUGGGGAAGCGGAGACGCCCACAUCCAAUCAACCGCCACGCGGCGCCCAAGGCCACAGGCUGUUGGGGCCCGUGGCGCUUCACACUUGCCCCUUCGCUUCUCUGCUAAGCCAACUCCAGGCGCGCCUUGGGCCCGGGGGCCACUGUCGGUGUUCUGGGAACGGGGGUCCCCAGACGUGCCUGCCUGUGGCCUCCGGCAUGGCUCAAGUUGGGGCCCAAUGCAGCCCAGCUUCAUCAGCUCAAGCUCAUCCUCAUGAGGGGCCAAGCCGCGCUGGGCGGAGAACAGGAAGCAUCCUCAGGAGCAGCCUCCCCAGGCAGGCUCGCGAGGAGGCCGAGAGAUCAAGGCAAGGUACCUCCUGAGGAGCCCGUGACAAAAGCCAUGACGAUCGAAGACCAGGCGGGCGCCAGGCGGGCACCGGCCUGUGCAGUGUCCUUGUUUCCCCUUCGGUGCAAAGGGGGCAAGCACAGACCAAGGCAUCAUGCAAAGGUUACCGUUUCACUGCAACAAGACCAAGACCAGCAGAACGGCAGGAUGGAGGUCAUCGUGGAGCCCAGGGCAGCGUCAUCGUCAGAGCCUUUGGCAGCCGAAGACCAACUUUAGUCAGGAUAAGUGUACCAGAUGUUUCCCUUCAAAAUGGCCAAUUGUUGGUGCCCUUCCCGCUCAUUAUUUGGGAAGAGGCCCAGGGCCUCCCUCUAUAAAUAGGGCUAGCCACCACAGAGUAGCGGCAUCGAGCAUCUAUCUCAAGAAGACGCAUAGACUAGAGAGAGGCGACUGAACUCACCCAAGCAGUUCAUCGCACGAGCUCAAGAACAGCCCCUCAUGAGGCUGUUCUCCCUUUGUACUGUUCAUCAUCAGCCCCUGAGGCAAUCCACCACACCACACACUGGAGUAGGGUAUUACACCACCAUGGUGGCCUGAACCAGUAUAAAUCUUGUGUCCCUUGUGUGUUCUUCUUUCUUGCUUAGAUCCUUGUGAGACUUCGAGACGUGAGCUGGUAGGGGAAAGAUCUUCGUGCGCACCCCAGUGUUCGAACCUCAAGGGUCUGCCAGAACCCGAAAUUCGACAAUGACCCACAAGUAUAGGGGAUCUAUCGCAGUCCUCUCAAUAAGUAAGAGUGUCGAACCCAACGAGUAGCAAAAGGAAAUGACAGGCGGUUUUCAGUAAGGUUUUCUCUGCAAGCACUGAAAUUGUAGGUAACAGAUAGUUUUGUGAUAAGAUAAAUUAUAACAAGUAACAAGCAAUGAAAGUAAAUAAAAUGCAGCAAGGUGGCCCAAUCCUUUUUGUAGCAAAGGACAAGCCUAGACAAUUUCUUAUCAUGAGAAAAGCGCUCCCGAGGACACAUGGGAAUUAUCGUCAAGCUAGUUUUCAUCACGCUCAUAUGAUUCGCGUUUGGUACUUUGAUAAUUUGAUAUGCAGUUGGAUCGGUGCUUGGGUACUGCCCUUACUUGUACAAGCAUCCCACUUAUGAUUAACCCCUAUUGCAAGCAUUCGCAACUACAAAAUAAGUAUUAAGGUAAACCUAACCACAACAUUAGACAUAUGGAUCCAAAUCAGCCUCUUACGAAGCAACGCAUAAACUAGGGUUUAAGCUUCUGUCACUCUAGCAACCCAUCAUCUACUUAUUACUUCCCAAUGCCUUCCUAUAGGCCCAAAUAAUGGUGAAGUUUCAUGUAGUCGACAUUCACAUAACACCACUAGAGGAGAGACAACAUACAUCUCAUCAAAAUAUCGAACGAAUACCAAAUUCACAUGACUACUAAUAGCAAGACUUCACCCAUGUCCUCAGGAACAAACGUAACUACUCACAAAGAAUAUUCAUGUUCAUAAUCAGAGGAGUAAUAAUAUGCAUUAAGGAUCUGAACAUAUGAUCUUCCACCAAGUAACCAAUUAGCAUCAACUACAAGGAGUAAUCAACACUACUAGCAACCCACGGGUACCAAUUUGUGGUUUUGAUACAAGAUUGGGUACAAGAGAUGAACUAGGGUUUUGAGAGGAGAUGGUGCUAGUGAAGAUGUUGAUGGAGAUUGACCCCUCCCAAUGAGAGGAUCGUUGGUGAUGACGAUGGUGAUGAUCCCCCUCGGAGGGAAGUUUCCCUGGCAGAACAGCUCUGCCGGAGCCCUAGAUUGGUUCCACCUCAUGGCGGCGGAGUUUCGUCCCGUGAGCUUGCUUAUGAUUUUUUCCAGGGUAAAAGCCUUCAUAUAGCAGAAGAUGGGCAUCGGAGGGACACCAGGGGGCCCAGGAGACAGGGGCGCGCCUAGUAGGGGUGGGCGCGCCCCCCACCCUCCUGGCCAGGGUGUGGGACCCUUUGGUGUUUUCUUUGCUCAAUAAUUCUUAUUAAUUCCAAAAAAGACUUCCGUGGAAUUUCAGGAUUUUUGGAGCUGUGCAGAAUCGGUUUCCAAUAUUUGCUCCUUUUCUAGCCAGAAUUCCAGUUGCCGGCAUUCCCCCUCUUCAUGGUAAACCUUGUAAAAUAAUAGAGAAUAACCAUAAGUAUUGAGACAUAAUGUGUAAUAACAGCCCAUAAUGCAAUAAAUAUUGAUAUAAAAGCAUGAUGCAAAAUGGACGUGUCAACUCCCCCAAGCUUAGACCUCGCUUGUCCUCAAGCGGAAGCCGAAAAUCAAAAAAUAUGUCCACAUGUUUAGAGAUAGAGGUGUCGAUAAAAAUAAAAUACGGACAUGAGGGCAUCAUGAUCAUUCUUAUAACAGCAACAUAGAUAGAUUUUGUCAUAUGAUUUCCUAUGCUGAAGUAACAAUCAAGUCACAAUGUCAAGUAUGGUUCAGAAACUUCAUUGUGAACUAACAAACUAUAAUCUCAGUCAUUGAAGCAAUUGCAAUUUAUCAUAACAUCAGAAAGAGUCAAGAAUAGAGCUUUUCAGCAAGUCCACAUACUCAACCAUCAUAUAGUCUUCUACAAUUGCUAACACUCACCUUUGGGGCUUAUUGUGUUUCCUCCCAACGUAUUCACCUUUGGGUGAUGUCAACAAUAAUAAUUCAUGCUAGCUUACAUCCAGUUGGAUAUAUAUAUCAAGAUCUUUCAAACACGUGGAGCUUGCCAAAGGAUAAAAUGAAAAAGGGAAAGGUGAAGAUCACCUUGACUCAAGCAUAAAGUAAAAACAUAUGGUAAAAGAUAGGCCCUUCGCAGAGGGAAGCAGAUGUUGUCAUGUGCUUUUAGGGUUGGAUGCACAAAAUCUUAAUGCGAAAGAACGUCACUUUAUAUUGCCACUUGUAUAUGGACCUUUAUUAUGCAGUCCGUCGCUUUUAUUGCUUCCAUAACAAGAUAGUAUAAAGCUUAUUUUCUCUGCACUAAUAAGUCAUACAUAUUUAGAGAGCAAUUUUUAUUGCUUGCAACAUGACAACUUAAUUGAAGGAUCUUACUCAAUCCAUAGGUAGGUAUAGUGGACUCUCAUGGAAAAAACUGGGUUUAAGGAUAUUUGGAAGCACAAGUAGUAUCUCUACUUGGUGCAAGGAAUUUGGCUAGCAUGAGGGAGAAAGGCAAGCUCAACAUGUUGGGAAUAUAAAUGACAAUAUACUUUAACUGAGAUGUGAGAAAACAUAAAUCAUUACGUUGUCUUCCUUGUCCAACAUCAACUCUUUUAGCAUGUCAUACUUAAUGAGUGCUCACAAUCAUAAAAGAUGUCCAAGAUAGUAUAUUUGUAUGUGAAAACCUCUCUUUCCUUAUUACUUCCUAUUAAUUGCAACGAUGACCAAAACUACGUUUGUCAACUCUCAACAACUUUUAUGCCUCAUACUUUUUAUGUGUGAAGUCAUUACUAUCCAUAAGAUCAAUAUGAACUCUUUUAUUCUUUUUAUUCUUUCUACUUCUUCAAGAUCAUAGCAAGAUAGCAAAGCCCUUGACUGAACACUAAUCUUUAUUAUAGAUAGCUCAGGGACUCGAUUACAUAAAGAGAUCACAAAGCAAAACUCAAAACUAAUUAAUACCAAAGCUUCAAUCUACUAGAUCAAGAUACUACUAAAAGGAUCGAACUAAAUAAAGCAGUAAAGAUAGGAGUGUGAUGGUGAUACGAUACCAGGGCACCUCCCCCAAGCUUGGCAGUUGCCAAGGGGAGUGCCCAUACCCAUGUAAUUAUGUCCUCAGAGGUGGUGAAGUAGGGGUUGUUGAUGAUGUAGGCUUGUCGUCCAUCUUCCAAGGCAUAGGCUCACCAUCAUAGAAGGAUGAACGAGUCUCUCGGAUCCUCAAAUCUGCAGCCAAACUCAUCCUCUUGAAUCUAUAUUCAUACUCACAGUUUUGGUUUUGCAGGUCAUAGAUCUGGGCUUGGAGGUGCUCGAUUGUCUCUUGAAGCUUGAAGAUGGUCUCCCGAAUGACCUUGGCAUCUAG
This 59619-nucleotide long non-coding RNA is filed under the name Triticum aestivum (bread wheat). Its description in RNAcentral is "long non-coding RNA (TAES_LNC003127)". Lineage: Eukaryota; Viridiplantae; Streptophyta; Magnoliopsida; Poales; Poaceae. The record is from RNAcentral.